AGGAGGUGGGUUGUCUCACUUUAAUCGUGAAAUUCUCACUAUAGACUAGCAUAAGGAAUAACAAGUCCAUGAAACUAACGGAUUGUUUAAAGCCUAAUCUAUAUUCUUGGUAAGUAUUUAGGUAUAAAUUAUUGCUUUCUGUUCUGUUCCCCUAGGGGGGUUUGAUUUUCUUUGGCUUGGCCUGUAGUCAUCCAUGAUAUUUCUUAGCUUGCUUGAGGUGCCGUCAUUGAUCGUACAAUGGUGAUGACCAUUGUCUUGUACAAAAUCCUCACUCCCAUAACCACAACAUUGAUCGUACAGUGAUGACUAUUGAUCGUGCAAUGCGUUUCCCUUUCACUCGCUUUAUCUGUUAUGUUGCUAUUCUAUUUGUUGCACUAGGGGUAGAUUUUUAUCUCCUAAUAACUAAGAACUUCUGCCAAAAAACCAAACAUAAUAACUUACACAUAUGGUAUGCAGAAAGCUCCAAUAUCUAUGAGUACGUUCAAAGAUUACCGGCUUAACAGUAUAGUAAAUAAUACAAAUAAGAAGAGUUUCCAAAAUGAAAUCUCCUAAUUGGCUUCUCUAAAGUUAGAGUAUGCACAAAAGCACAUCUUCCUUGUCCAAACACGUUGCUUUAAAUAGGUCUUGAGAUAGGAAAUAUGUUGCACCCCUAAAAUUUAUGACCAUGAUGAUGAGAAUGGUGUCAAGAUAUACUUAUUUUCUUCACUCUUGACGACAUGUCCACCACCCUCCAAUAGGGUGGGAAUAGAAUGCCAAUCAGAAAGGGGGGAGAUGAGUUGUAAAUUUUCCUUAUUUGACGUCCCACAUGCCUUUGUGGGAAAUGGACAAACUAGUGACCAUAUUUAUUCUGUUCUCCAACAUGGGGAGACACCCGCGAGAGGGGCGUAAAACCCCAGCCAACAACAUGGGCCUCGCAGGCUGGCAGGGCCUGGUAACAAAUCGAGAGGGUUUCAUGUAGGUGCUGCUUUGCGCGUAGCAUGUGGGGAGCCCCAUUAGCUGCCCGAGUGUACAAUGGGCCUAGUGGACUUUUCAGAUGCACAGUAGGUCCACUAUACCACCGAGGUGGCCAACCAGGUGUCGAUUGUUGGUAAGCACCAAAUUACAACUGCACAUAAAGGACAGCCCAAUAAAUUGACGUCUAAUUAUGUGGUCCAAUAAAUAUAUUGAAUAAAAUAAGCAUAUUGUGUCUAAGAUAAAUUCCAACUUCUAAUAUUUUGCAUAUUGGGCAACCAGUCAACUUAGGUUGUAUGGUCGUCAUAGAACUAAUACAAGUCCAGUUAGAACCUUAGCCCUUGUUAGCCUUGGGCCUUGCUAAGGCCAUCUUCAGCUUCCCUCUAGUUUGAUACAUACAUGUGGACUGCUAUAAAGGUCAGAUGACCUUCAAAGCCAAAGAUUAGACUUGUUGAAGCUCUUUGUGGGAAGAAGAUAGCUUGGGUAAUGUUUCAUCAACAUUGUCAUUUUCCUUGGGCUUAGAUUUAUGUUUCAAGAUAAGUCUGGGCAAACCAAAGUAGAUGAAUGAUCGGGUUUGGUAAUUCUUAUGGGGGUGUGGAUGUAUCUCUCUUCGUUGACCUAAAGAAAAACUGUUGAGAGGGAUUUACCGAGGUAAUUGACUUUCAAAGAUAUAAAACAUUGAACAAUUUCUUUCCUCUAGUGAGAAGUAAAUUUGAUAUGGGCUUCCAUUCAAAACUUUUGGUGGGUAUUAUUUACUGACCUAAGUUAGAUGUCUAUUAUAGAUCUUUGGCCUUACUAAAGGAAGAUGACUUGGAACUGAUGUCAUUCUAUUUACUCCUUGGAAGAAAUCAAACAAAAACUACUUAGAUUUACUCUAUCUUCAUUUGAUGGGAUGCUUUUCUUAUCGGAAAUUGAUUUCUUCCUGUACACUUGCCUUUCAACUUUUUGAUCCACUGCCCAUUCCAUACCUUGAAGAUUGGUCAAUGCAUCAUAGAAACAUUCUAAUCUUACACAACUAAUCUUCCAAUUAUAUUAGAACUAGAUAACCCCAGGAUUGAUUUUUCUUCAAAGGACUAGGAAAAUAUGCUGCCUCCAGCUACUGCCAUAGAGAUGCAGGACCAAGACUAGGCCCAAUUUAUCUCUACUUUCAACAUGAUCUCAUAUCUUUUGACCAAAGAAAAGAAAGCAAGCCGGACCACAGGCAAUUGAAUUAUGCACCAUAGUAAAUUGCAUUUUCUUUAAAUUGAUAACUAAUAUAUUGAGAAGUACAUUGUUUGAAGUUGUCCAAAUAUCAACGUGAGAUUAGUCACUAGAAAGUAGACUGUAUAAUACUUUCAUCUUUGUUGAGGUGGGUAUCAAUUGUCAAAAUGUAGAGCAUUUGGUUGAUGACUGUCCUUACAUCCUUAAUGGUAGAGUUCUAGGAUCUGGCUUUUUAGGAAAAAGGACUAGAGCCAAGCUGGAGAUUAGGGUUUACAAAAUAUCUUAACUUGAAGGAGAUAAGGGUUAACUUGGUCUGGCAUGGUAACCAUUUUCCUGUCUAGGCAAAACAAUAUACUUCUAGAGUGGUUUAAUCUAAACUUGUUGGAUCAUCCACAAGUUCAAGAAAUUCCAUGGAGACGAGCUUGGUGUUUGCAAGGGUUUUGAUAUUUGUCCCUAAUAUAGAUAUUGAAAAUUCAUAAACAAUAUUCCUUGUAAGAAAUUGACAUGUCUCAUAGCUCUUCGAAAAUGCGGAGAUGAAUAAUUAUUUUAAAUAAAUGUCAGAAUUUUGCCUCAUAAGAAAAACAAGAGUUGGAAGUGUUAUUUUCUUGUACUUAGAUGUCCACACUUCUACAGGUAACUUGAAGCAUCCUCUCAUCAACUUUGAGAUCAUCACACAAUAUACUAGAAUGUGCUUCGGGCAAAACUUUGCUGUUCCUAAAACUUUACUGUAUAAUAAUCUCUCCUGCAUUGGUAACUCUUCUCCUAGAUUAUUUCCACACUUGUAACAAAACAAGACAUAGACCACAACCUUAAACACAUCCAUCAACAGAGUGGUAUCAUAACUAACUAAUUAUCAUAAAGAUCAGGAUACCAUUACAAUCACUUGGAAGAUGUUUUGGCAUAAAGAAAGAUAACAAAUUGACAAUUAGGCCAUGAUAAGGUUAGCCAUAAACCUGAACCCCCUUUGGAUGUGAUCCAAUAUCCUCCCUAGUCCAACUUAGAGCAAUUCUCCAUAACUACAAUCAUGAUGCCUUGAAAUCAGUCCAUUUCCAAGUACAUAAUGAGGAAAGAGAUGAGUGACCAUGGCAAUAACAAGAGUAGUUCAUGGCAGGGUAAGACUUUGCCAAGAACGAUGAAAUCACUCUGUACAAAUAAGUUGAGCCAUAUAUGGAAAAAGGAUGUAGAGCUUGUCCACCACCAAGUCAUCCACACCUUUCAAAUCCUGAAUAUCAAGUACUUGAGUUGUUGGAGUUGUAGAGACUGGUCUAUUGGGCCUUAAUGGUCUCUAAUGGGCUCAUCAACAAGUACACGGCUCCAACUCUAUGACAAGGGACAAACAUGGAUUUUUCCGUACCGCGUGAUAAGGGGGGGAAGCCACCACCUCUAUUAUGGUAUGCAGAUAUGUGUUGUGUGACCAGUAUGUGGUGUUGAGACGAAGGCUGUAAGAUGACUCUCCACUUCAUAAGGACAACUAUUCUUGUCCUACUGUGAAUGUACAAGUAUUCCUCAUGUGAUGUUAAAUCUGGUGUGCCCUUUUGUUCUUGCCUUUCUCCCUCGUCUAUCUCUUGUGUGAUUUGAAUUAGUCUUCUACUAUUUAGGAAAUGGAAUUAGAACACUAGCCUUCCUCAACAUAAGGUUCAUCUCUUUUUCCUUGAAAUAAAUCACAACUAUGUAGAUAGUAAUAAUGUUAAGGAAUGGUGAAAGCAAAAUGGAGGCCAAUAAGGUGGCCACUUCCUCCAUAGCAAGCUAUUUCAGAUUAUAAAAUAUGUUGUCCAAGAACCCACCAUUUCCAUGGCUCCUAAGAUCACAUAGGAAACUUUUUUUACCAUGAAUUCUCCUAAAAGCUUGACAAUAAAGAGGAAAGCACCAAGGAAAAUCGAGUUGGAAAAGGGAAUAUGAGAGGUCUAGGAGCAUUUAUAGCUUCCCAGAUUCCUAUGCAAUCUUGAUGAUGCUGAGGGUUAAUCCCUCUUCUACACACAUGGAUAAGGUAUAUAUCUUUAUCUCCUAGUAGUUAGAACUCCGAAACUCCAUAUUAUUGCUUGUCCUAUCUUUCCAAUGAUAAAUAAGUCCCUCCCUCCCCUUUCAUCUUAAUCCCUUCCCUUGCACUCCUCUCUCCCCUAUCCGCUUCCCCCUUAUGAUGGGAAAUUAUUUAUUUUGUUGUCUAUGAUCCUAAUGUCAUAGAAGAGAACCCAUUAUGAUUAGGACUUUCCAACUAGAAACAAUAACAUAUCAAUAUGAGGGUUUCUUUGUGAGAAUGAAAAAUGAGAAUAUAGGUGGAGGAAUAAGUGAAGUGUUGAUUUCCUUUGUUUUGAUUAGUAUAAAUAAAUUUUUUUUUCUAAAGUCAGUAAUUAAUAUUUUAGAUUGAGAAAUUAUGAAAUUGAAAUUAAAUUUGUAUAUUUAAAUUAUAAUCAAUGUAGAGAUGAGAUUAUAUGUAUUCAAUGGUCUUAUCAUUUUGAUUACUUUGAAUUUUUACUCUAAUUGUUUUUUCUUGUUUUAACAUUUACAUCUACAGUUUUCAGCCUUGAUAUUAAGUUAUUUUGUGUUGUAAAAAUACUUAAAAAUAAGUAAUUAUCAACUAAAGAAGGAUUUAGAAAUAAAAGGUUAAGAUAUAUUACAUUAGUUCAUAUGACAUGUGUCAACCUAUGCAGUAUUACAUGAACCAUCAGUCAACAUAUAUGGAAAAUGGAACAUUAAAAUUUUAAUAUAUUUAUUUUUAUUUAACCAUGAUGCUGCAAUGUAUAUAUAUUUUAUAUUAUUUAACAUCAUGUUAGACAAAUUCUCUAAGCAAUUAUGAAUAUGAAAUCAACAAGAAAAAAAAGAAUAGAUCAAAUAUUUAAGUAAGAAGAUUCUACCUUAAUAAUUACACAUAUAAGUAUGUGUGCAAAAGUGUAAUGAAACUAGAUGCUGUGGAUUCUAAAUUGGACUCCCUCAGGUUAGAAAGCUUUUUGUUUCAAAUUUGAAUUCAAAUGACUUAAAAAGAAGACAAGAUGAAAUUGGAAGUUUGACAUUUGGAAACCAUAGAUUCUAGUAAAUACUAAAACUGAAACAUUGUAAACUUGAAUGUUGGAGAUUUGAAAAAAUUAAAAAACUGAUAUAAAAUAUAAGUUAACUUAUAAGAGAAGACUUAUAUGUUGAAAACAAAAAAAUACCUUUAGAGAUUAAGUGUUCUGCAUUAAGAUCUUCAUACUGCAUUCUUUAAUGAAAAAUGAAUGACAUCAAGCUCAUCAUUAGCAUGAUAUAGAAAUCAAACUAAUAUCCAUUCCAAUACUAACAUCAGAAAAUAGUAUAUUCAAAAUGUUGAAAUAAUAUGAUUCUUCCUCUUAAAGAGGGGAUUCAAAGUUGUGAAAGUAUUUGAAAUGUAAGGCUGCAUCUUUUUGCCUUAUAUGUUUUAGAACGUUGAAAUGAACUACAUAGUGUGAUCCUUGAUUUGGAAUACCUAGCAACACAAGAAUAUAAAGAUAAAAAAUAAAAACUACAUUGGUGUAUAAGUUUAACAUGUCACAAACAUGAUUUAAGGCUUCAUAAAACCCUAAUAUCUAUUGGAGUUUUUUAUGGGACUCUUCCUCUCCCUAAUCCCUAAUGCCUCCUGUUCUCCAUGACUCAAGCCCUAUAUGUCUCCUCUCUUGAUGGGAAAAAGACCUGAUUUCCCCAUCAUUGGGUUUGGACCAAGUUCACUUAGUGGAUUGUUUGGUCUCUUUGGUGGAAAUCAUUAGGCCCCUUGGCCCCAUGCUUCUAGAGUACACUAGGCCCAUUUUAGGCCUAACAUUACUCCUACCCUACUAGUGACAGCUUGUCCUCUAGGUGGAAGAUGGGGAAUUGUUAUUGAAGAGUCAAUAUCGACUCCUACAUAACUUCCCUUUUUGAUAGCUGAUUUGAUUUGAUUAGCACUUUUGUUUUGUUGGUGGUGUGGACUUGAUCUGUUUCAAGCUUGUGAUUGAGUUCAUUUUGGCAUUCAAUAGUGGAGGUAGUGGCUGGCUGUGAACUUGUGCUCCUAUGGCCAAGAAAGGUCAUUUGCUUCACUUAUGAAGCUGGUUAUUCAAAUAAAAAUAGUGAUAAGUUCAUAAGAAAGAAUUAAUCACUUAUGUGUGGCUAUUGAUGGUGACAUGUCAUGAUCUUUGGAGCUUUGUUCUUUAUAGUUUGAAACUUUCAAACCAAAAUUUACUAAUGAAAAUACAGCAUCUUGUAGAUAUCACUAUAAGGGGCAUGUAAUGAAGUUGUAUACUAUCACAUAGAAAAAUAUUUACUACCUCAUGAGUUAUCUAAGUGUUUGAGCAACAUCAAGUGGAUCUACUUAUAAGUUAGUUGACUACCACUAUGAUGCAAUUGAGGUCCUAUACUUAGAAUUGACAAUAGUUGUAUACGUCCUAUGGUUCAUAAAGUUUUGUGCCUUUUCCUUUCAUAGGUGGUGCAUUGAUCCAUAUAUUUUUGAAUGUUUUUCAUUUCACUCCAUUAAAAGUCUUAUGCAAGGUAUUUACAUGUUCUUAAGAAGCAUUUGUUGAUGCCCUUGGGCAUAUGUUUUGAUAUUACAAUUAAUGAGAAAAUAUAUAAUUGAUAUUUUAUAUUACUCACAAGAUUAUUAUAAAUUUUUGAUAUAUUUCAUCUAUAAAACUCUAUUAUUUAUCUUGCGAUAUUAUGCUUAACCUAUUAAUCCAAAGGAUUAAACCUUAAGAUUAAUUGAAUUGAUGAAUAGGCCAAACAUCACAUUUAUGAGAAUAAAUAUUUGUUGGAAAGUAAAUAUUUAAAUUGGUAAAUGACAUGGUAAAUGAUGGUUAUUUUUUUAAUUUAUUUAUCUAUCAUUAUUUGAUUAUUUAAGUGUAGCCUUUUAUUUAUUAGUCACGUGCAUCAUUAAAAGAGAAUGAAAAUAAUUCAAAAUAUUAGAUGAGCUCUCAUAAGUCCCAAACUAGAAAUCUAGAUGGUGACAUGUUGGCUACUUAUGUGAAGAAAAUGACUUAUUUAACAUUCCAAUAUGAAGACAAUGCCAAUAUAAAAGUUUUUCAUCCAUGAGAAAGAAUCUCCAGGUUAAAUUUCAAAUUGAACAAAUUAAGGAAUAAUAAGUUAUUAAAUUCACAAUAGUCAGAGGUCAUUACUACAUGUUCUAGAAAAUGAUAAGUAUUUGAUUGACUUUUUAAUUUUAUCUCUUGAACAAAAUAUAUAAAUCCAUGAGAAGACAAUGUCUUACAAGUAAAGAAAGUUGAGGAGAUUAACAACAAUGAUUUUACCUUGAUAUACUAUGAAAAAUCUCUCUCACGAUUAAGAAACAUCACCACUGAGCUUCAAAUACAUGUAGACUACAUCAUCUUUUUUCGUCAAUGAUUGGUGAUCAAUGAAAGUCUUGAAUCUUUUAAGAAUACUCUCCAUCAAGCCCUAAUGUAAUUAGGUAGUGAGGAGAGAGUAGUUUUGAGCAAAGACACGAGGUACUCUAAGUCUUGAUUGGCCCGAAAUGAGUUAGAUCUCUCUACGGAGAUUGAACUUGAGGUAUUGAGGUACUGAUCUCGUAAAUUUUAAUGUAUAUUUCUGAGGGAAAUAGUUGAAAACUAGUAGGAAGAAUUUUUCGAGAUUAGAAGUAGCUAGGUGAGAGGUCAACUAAUAUAAAAAGUUUGGGUCUCAUUAAUGGGGGAGAGAAAAUUGUGAGAUAACCCACAAGAGGAGAUAGAGAAAGUGAGCUUAUAUGUAGAUAAUCACAAAAAAUAGUGUUAGCAUGUGUGCUGACACAUCUACCAUUUAUAAAGAAAAUCUAAGAUUAUUGAAAAACUAAUUCACCUCCUCUCCUCUUAGUAUUUUGCCUAGCCCUUAGAUCUUUCAACUUCAAUAUCCAUUGAAGGCCUUGUCAUGGUACUCCUUAAGAAAUAAAUAAAUUGAUGUUAAAUCUUUAAAAAUUACAAACAACCCCUUGAUGAAUAAUAGGUCAUGUUGUAUUUUGGCCACACUUUAGUUCUUUGACCCAAUUCACAAAAGAUGUGAGAUAACUUGAAAUACAUUUGAACCUCUUUCAUAAUGACAUGUAAAUGUAAAACAUAUUAUCAAACUAUUGCUAUUUUCUAAAGUUCCACUUACUUUGGCUACUUAGAGAGAGUAUGUAUUGUAUUAUUGUUGGACCCAUUAUUAUAUUUGAUUUCAAAAUGACAUUCUAUGAUUUUGGUUAGUCAUCUUUGAUACUCUAGAUAUAUCUAUUAUUGUUGCAUGAGGAAUUGAAGAUGCAUUAGAUUGUGUCGAUGAUAAAAUGAUGUUAUAAGAGAUAACAUCACCACCUUUGGAUUGUUAACACAAUAACCUUUAGUUCACACUCAUAGAUAGGCUUUAAUUGAGUUUUGGUUGGCAACAUCUCACCGAAAUAAGUGAUGGGUCACCUUCACUGAACUGAUCUCAUGUCUGAUCUUGAUUUUAAAGAGCUAACAAGAAAUUAAACAUGGUCAAACUUGAGAGUGGUGAAUGACAACUUCUGUUGCUGAAAUGCCAUGUCCAUUAUUUGUCCUCAAUUGAAGGAGUCUUUAAGUUGUUGGGUUAGUAACUUUGUCAACGUUCCAUAAUUCCCAACAAACCUGUUAUAAUAAGCAACUAAACUCAAGAAUCCUAUCAACUUUUUAAGAUUGUGUGGUGUCAAGCAAUGGGUCAUUGCCUCUAUCAUUGGUCAGUCUCUACAUCCUCAAUUGACACCCAAUAGCUAAGGUAGUCCAUUCAUUCCUAUGUAAAGGUAUAUUUUUUAGAGUUGAAGUAAAAUUUGUGAUCUCACAAAAAUGAUAGGACUUAUUAUGAUUGUUAUGAAUCAUCAUGUCCUUGAUAUAUAUUAAGAUGUCAUAAAAAAAUACCAAUUCAAAUUUAUAGAGGAAAUCCCAAAAUAGUCAAUUCAUGGGGUACUAAAAUGUGGUUGGUGCAUUUGAAAGUCCAAAAGAUAUAGUGAGAAACUCAUAAUGUCACUCAAAAGUAUAGAGUGUUGUUUGGAGGAUGUCCAUAUUCUAUUAAUGAUAUCUAAAUUUCAGGUCUAAUUUAUAAAAUAUGGAUGCACAAUAAACUCAUCCAAAAAUUUCUUCACUAUUGAGAUAAAAAAUUGAUUGAAUAUGGUGACCCAAUUGAGAGCCUAUAGUCCACAUAAAAUUGUCAACUUCUAUCCUCUUUCUAACUAGCAAUACCAACUUUAGUAUGAGCUGUUGGACAUAAUAACUCAUAUCACACAUAUUAUCUUAAUUAGCUUAUUGAUUUCACACUUUUGAAAAUUAAAAUACCUAUAAGGAGAGAUGUUUACUGGUUUGACAUAGUGGUGCAGCAUGAUAGCAUGAUUGAUAUCCCUUGUUGGGCGAAGUUCUAAGGCUGAAAGGAGCACUUGUAUUUGUUAAAAAUUACUUCAUUAGACCUAAUAACCUUGGGAAAAUUUUGGGUUCACUAAUCGUGAUUUGAUGAAGCUCUAUUAUAAGUUAUUGCCCCUGUUGUAGCUCUUGUGCCUUUGGAUACAAGGAAAUGUUAGACCUGUUCAUGCUUGGGUUGUUCUUGAGAAGGAUAGUUGUGCUGACCUUAAUGAACCUUAGUGUUAGUUUACUCUAACUAACCUCCCUUAUGUUGAGAGAUAUGAGACACUACAUGCCUAAGAUGUCAUCCAUGUUGCCUAAGGCUAAUGGAAGAAAAUUCUUUAGGACUUUAGUCAUGAAAGCUCAAGAAACACUUCCUACUAAUGCCUCUCCCCAUCAUUAUUAUAUAUGUGCCCCUCACUAGUUUGUAAUUGAUCGUGGCUAUCAUAGAAGAUUUUAAAUUAUCUAUUAAUUAUAUUGAGAUGAGCUUACGUGUGGCAGCAUAGAUGAUAAGAACUAUUACAUACCUUAUUGCGAAUCUAUAUUAUACUAGUGUUUGUCAAUCCAUCAUUGAAUUGAGCAAAAGCCAAUGCUCUCCACAAAAUAGCCUUCAGUUUUGAUAUUUCCUUUUUCCCUUGUAUUUUUUAUGCCCUCAUCCUUAGUGGUUCUAGCUCUUGUUCCACCUCAUGGACUAUUGAGUAUUGAAAAUUCUCUCUUACACAAGUGUGCUGGGAUGAGUUCCUCAUCAUGUGAGAAAUAUAACCCUUUGAGUCAACAUGUUUGAAAAUCUACCUUUUUCUACAUUCAUGCACCUCCUUCCUCCCCCUUGCUUGUAGAUACAUGCAUCUUCACCUAUAGUUUGGGCUUGUGAACCUCACUACUUGCUGUUGCUUCUCAUAUUUUCAUUUAAUCAUUUCCCUCCAUUGUUGCUUCCUUUGUUCAAACUGAAUUUGUUCCACCAUAAAGUUUUGGCUUCACUAUCCAAGGUAUUAUGGCCUCUCUUGGUGGCCAAAUGACAUUUUUUCAUUCUUAUGCUAAGUUCGUUAUGUCCAUAAUGGCCUUCAGUCCAUUGGAGUCAUAAAGUUUGACCUUUGUUUGGAUCUUGUGCUUCAACCUUUCUAUAAAGGCCUUUUUCAACACUUAUUUGGGUAUCUCCUAUUGAUGAAGAAAGUUUAGGGCUUUGAUGAACUCAAGGAUCUAAUAGGGUUACCAAAAAGGACUCCCAACCUCAACUUACCCCAAAACACUCGAUACCCUCCCUUCCUCUCUUAUCAACCAGAGCCCAAGUCCUAUCCUCUGUUGAUGGGGAUAAAACUCCAUUGACUCUUCAUUGGGUCUGAACGAGGACCUUCAAUGAAGUGGCUGUUGUCUCUUUGGGUGAAAUCAUUGGGCUCUUUGAGCUCCAUUUUUGUGUUUGGAGUACAUAAGGCCCAUUAAAAGCCUAAAAUAUAGUCUGAUGAUAAAUCUUCAUUUUAUUUUUAUUAUCCUUUCAAAAAUUACACCAAUAUUUAGUGCUGAACAAGUCAAUGUCUUACAUACUUUGGCUGUGCUAGAGUUUCAAGAGAUCUGGACACAAAUCAAAGGCUGUUCUUUAGAGACCACCAUGUCAUUUGGGAAUUAAAAGAUGACAAUUUUUUACAACAUUAAGAAUAAAUUUACAUAACUAGACUCCAUACAAAAGGCUUCAGAUAUAGAAAAAGUACCAAGAGAGAGUCAUCUCUGACAAGAGUUCUAGACCACUAGGCCUCCACCAAGAGGAACUAGUCCCUUUUUACAGGGUUGUUAGUCUUGAUUGCAGCUUACCUCAUGGGGCACAACACUCUCUUUGAUGGCCCUAUUUCAAAACACUUGCCUCUUAUGUAGUUUGUGAAGAGUUUUGUAACAUUUUUCUCACAAUGAACACCUUUAUAAUAACAAGUUCAUUAAGAGUAAUAAGUGCUUUCCCAAAUAUAAUUGGCAUAUUGAUAAUGAUGGUUGAGAAAAUAACUGUUGAGGCGAAAUUGUGGACAUCUACAAAUGACAAAAGAACAUCUACCUAGUUAAUAGUCACAGAGCUUCACAAUCUCCCAACACUCUAUGGUGUGUGGUCUCAUGGUUCCUCGUGUAGAGUCCUUGUGUACACUUUGUUAUCCUUCCUCAUGGUUGCUUCCUCCUAAUUCUCCUGAUACUAGUAAUAGAACAUCAUGUUGAUUGUCUAGAUCAAUAGAAUCGCCAACAUGUAGACUAAUGAGGAUAUGAUCAAAUUGAACAUAUCAGGCAAAGGGAAAAGAGAUGCAGUUUAGACCAACAUUUGGGCCCAGGCUACAACAAGAAACAAGAGAGUGUUUACUUUGAACCCUAAUCCCUUCAUGCCUCAGAUGCGCUCCACUGCCAUUCCAAGAGCGUCUAGCUCGGAGCAUCCUUCUAUUGAUACUUUUGGGCAUGGAUUAUGAUAUUAUAAAUAUAUGAUAAAAUAUAUAAUUCAUGAUUGAUAUUAUUCACAAGAUUAUGACAAACGCUUCAUAAAUUUCAUGUAAAUAAAUCUAUUAUUUAUCUUAUAACAUUAUGAUUAACCUUGAGGUUAAGUGAAAUGAUAAAUAGGUGAAGCACCACAUAUGGAUAAAUAUUUGUUGAAAAAAAUAUUUAAUAGGUAAAUAAUUUUUAUAAUUUUUAAUUUAUUUAUCCAUGAUUAUUUAAUCAUUUAAGUGUAGCUAUUAUUUAUUAGUCACAUGCAUCAUUAAAAUAAAAAGAAAAAGGUUGAAAAAAUCAUAUGAGCUCUUGUGAGUCUUGAACUGAAAAUUUGGACGAUGACACAUUAGCUAUUUAUAUGGAGAAAACAACCAACUUAACAUUUGAAUUUGAAGAUGAAAUCAACAAGAAAGUUGUUCAUCUAUGAGAGAAAGGCUUUUAGUUUGAAUUUCAAAUCUAACGGUUUAGAGAAUAGUAAGAUAUUGAAUUCACAAUAAUUAGAGGUCAUUGUCACACAUUCUAGAAAUUGGUAAGUAUUCAAACCAACUUUUUGAUUUUAUCUCUUAAGCAAAACAUAGAAAUCCAUUAGAAGACAAUGUACUACAAGUAAAGGAAGCUUGAAAAUAAUGAUUCAACUUUAAUCUACAAUGAGUUAUUUCUCUCACGAUCAAUAAUCAUCAUUGCCGAGCUUCAACUGCGAGCAUACUACAUCAUCCUUCUUUAUCAAGGAUUGGUGAUCAAAAUAAAACUUGAAUAUUUUAAGGAGGCUCUCCAUCAAGCCCUAAGAUAAUUAGGUAGUGAGUGGAGAGUGAUUUUGGGCAAAGGCAUGAGGUGUCUUAAACCCUAUUUAGCCUAGAAGGGGCUGGAUCUCUACAAAGGUUGAACUUGAGGUAUUGGGACUAUUGAUCUCGUUAAAAUCAAUAUGUAUUUUUGAGAGAAAUAAAAGAAUAUUAAUAUAAAGGAUCCUCUGAAAUUGAAAGUAAUUAGGUGAGGGAUAAACCAUUGUAAAAAGCUUUUGUCUCAUAGUGAGAUCCUAUUAAAAGAGAGAGAAAGCCAUUUUGCACAUAGAUAAUCGUGUAGAAUUGUGUUAACACAUGUGUUGACACAUCUAACAUUCGAGAAGAAAAUCUGAAAAUUUUAAAAUACCAAUUCACCCCCCCUCUUGAUAUUUUGUCUAGCCUUUAGAUCUUUCACUUUCAUCAUGGAGACCACAAUGCCUUAUGGCCAAAGCAUGCUAAGUGUACAAAGAGAAGAAAUUUUAGGAUGACCACAAUCAAUGCAAAAGACGUGGGGAAAAUGUCACCAAAAAAGGUGACGGCACUCAUCAGCAAGAUCUAGAAGCUUAGAUAACUUGAGGUGAGGAAGUAGACAUAGAGAUUUGUGACUAUUAUGCCCAUCCUCUAGCUCUAGAUCUUAAAGACAAGAUCCUUUAGGGCCAACAUUUGGCUCUUCCUGACAAUGAUGACCGUGUAAAUGAUCACUAUCGCAAUGGAGGAAUAGAAUAGGUAAUAGAUUAAUGACACAACAGUUACCAUUCCGACAGUUUGUAGGAUAUCAGUCCAUAAUCCCUAUAAGACCUCAUCAAUUGAGUUAGUGACAAAAUCAUGCAGAAUAUCUUUUAUUCCUUAUUUAUGUCAUUAAAUAAUUUGUUCACAUGAAAUAAUUCACUUACUAUCUAUAUUUAGCAAGUGCGAAAAUGAGAGAGAGAUGUUUGUUGGAGUAAUAACAUUAUGUUAAUGAUAAUUACUCCUCUAAUUUUAUAUGAUAAGGUACUCAUUUGAUGAAGACAUUAUGUAUUAGGUGUUCAAGAGGAAUCUCAAUAGAAGAAGAAGGAUAUGUUUGUCUUCUCAAAUAAAUAGGCACCUUGAUGUCCUUUUUUCAUAGGGUGCUCUUUGAUGGUAGACUAAUGCACCAAAGAGAAGAAUAUUAAGUCCUUAGAGCACUGAAGGUUAUGUUCUCACCAAAUAAAUGGGGAGAAGAGAGAAGAGAGAAGUAGUAGUGUGUCCUUCUCAUCUCCUAAAAUGAGAAUUAUCCUUUAAUAGAGGUGUGUGUUGUUUUCCACAUGAUGGUAGUUAAUAGGAAGUUAUAGGAGUGGUUAUUAUGUGUAUUUAUUGUGUUAAUGGGCCACUUAUUGGCCAAUGAUGUUAGGAUUAGAGUCGCCAUUCCAUGCACAGUCCCUCAAAGAAGCUCCGAGUUGGAGAGAAUGAAACUCUUCAUUCUUCCCUCAUAAAGGAAACACCCUCUCAAGCAGCUUGAUGGGCCCGGAUGGAUAGGCCCAUUGCUGGGUCCUACUAUAACAAUGUCGAUAUGGGACUAAACAAGUGGGGACCCUUUCCCCCCUUUUUCUUUCCAUGCUAUAUACAUAUAUCUAUAUAUAUAUAUAUAUAUAUAUAUAUAUAUAUAUAUAUAUCGAGAGAGAGAGAGAGAGAGAGAGAGAGAGAGAGAGAGGCAGACAGAGAUAAACUCGUAUUAGAAUUAGAAACGAAAAUACUCUCAAAUCUCACUUAUUUUGACACAAAAAUAACUAGAUAAUACUUGCGGUUUGGGGAAAUCAACGAAGGAAAUUUCCAAGACAUAUUUUGAGGAAUUGUAUUUUUCAAAGUAUGCGAUUAUUUGACCUGUUGUUCGGAUUGGUAAGCAGCACCAUAGUUGUAUGAAACAUGGGGAAGGCAGUGAGGAAUGCCAUUGAGUGAAGGUUCGACAAAAACCUCUGCUAUUUCCUUGCACUCCGUUGCCCUUUUUCUGAGGCAAACCUGCAGCAUCCUCCCACCAACUCUGAUAUCACCGUGCUGUAUCCCAGAACAUGCUUCAUGAAAAUGACGAACGGAACGACAGAGAUUGCCAUGGAAAGUCCGAACUGUAGGAAAACCCUGACUUUCAGGGCAGAAGACAACAAGCAUCGAUCCUUACUAGAGAGACAUGGAAUACGAUGCCAAAGAGGAUGAUGACGCAGUUUUCGAGGGAAACAGGCCCUUCUAUGUGCUCCAAACUAUGGGGGGUAUUUUCUUGAGAAGUGAACUUUCCCAAUAUGAGCUGUCACCAAGCUUCUCUGUUCCUAAAGACUCAAGGGAGAUCUUCAGGAACAGGUGUAGAAGAGGAGACCCUAUUGUAUAUUAAUGUCUCCCGCAUGAGUAACUCCUUUUCCUGGUUAUCACUGCACUUGUAGUAGAACACGACAUAGAUCACGUCCUUGAACACGCCAAUCAGCAGAUUGAUAACACAAAUGACGAACAGAAAGACCAGGGCGAUGACCUUCGCAUCCUCUAGAAUGUAUCUUAACACAGAGAAGCAUAAUAGAUUGAAAAUAAGGCCAAAGAGGUUCAUAAGAAGAUUAACGAUAAACCCGAGACUCCUUCUUUCUUGGAUGAGAUCUGAUGCCCUCCCAAGUGCAGCCAGCCCGUAGCGGUCCUCCAAAACCGAGACCACGAUGCCUUGAAACCAUACCAAUUCCAUGUACACAGCCAGGAGAAAGACCAAGAUGGACAUGGCAGUAGCAAGAGCUUUCGACCCUGUGGUAAAACCACCGACGAGGACGACGGCACCAGUCAGUAAGAACGAAAAGUCGAAGUAACCAUUGGCCAUAAAAAGGACGUAGAGCUUGGUGACCAUCACGCCCUUCCACAUCUUCCAAAUCUUAAGUUGCAAAUCCUUGAGGGUCAUCUCUUUCUCCUUCAAAGCCAUUGCGACUGUGUAAAUUACCGCCAUGUUAAGGAUGGACGACAGCAGGAUGGAGGCCAGUAAGAUGGCCAUUUCUGCGAUGGUUAACUUUUUGAGACCAUCAAGUACGCUUUCAAAAAACCCAGGUUGCAUGAUCCCUUGGGGCAUUGGGGACGCUUUCUCUAUCACGACUCCUACUAGAUGAAUGAUGUAGAAGAAGUAGGCACUUACGAGAAUGGUGUAGGGGAGAAGGAACAUGAGCAGUAUUGGGAGCAUCUGCUUACGGCUCCUCCACAGGAGCUUCCAAGAUUCCCGAACCAUCUUCACGCUGCUAAGGGUUAGUCCCUCUUCCAUACCCAUGGCUACGACGAAUACCUUCCGUUCCAAAUACUCAGCAUUCCCAAAUUCCCUAUUUAUACUCGUGCUACACGUGCUCCGCGUAAACAAGAAGCCUUCGCAGAAAUUUCCUCUCUUAUCUUGGGAAAAAAUUCAAACUAAAUUAUUCCUGUCCCUAUAAUGAUCCCUAUUUUAUUAGAUUAUAUGGUUAUGAGUCACCUUCUUCAUUUAAUUAUUGUAUUUGGAAAAGUCAUUAUAAGUUGCAUACUUCGUGACCUUCAACGGAUUAGUUAUGAGUCGGGCUUGCAGCAUUAAAGUUAAUUCAAUGCUUGUCCAAUCGAGCAGUAUUUCUGUGGUAGUAGAUGAAUGCUAUGUCGAACUCAACGCUUGCCCUGUCUAACACGAAAAUAAAGUAAAAUAAAACAGACGAGUGUUUGUAGAAAGCUUCAGCUUUUGUCGAUAAACAGGAUUUGGAUGAAUUUCCAUGACUACAAUAAUAGAUCUUCUGAAUUUAAGGUACCAAGCCAGAUACCCAUUCUAAUGACUUACGAUACCAGUUGAAAAUGUCUUUGAUGUAAAUGUCAUGGAUUUCAAUUUUGAACACGACAACCAUCUCUGCCGCACGUACAAUGGAAAUGAGAUGUUGUAUGUGAGAGAUGGGAUUACACCGUUCUUUCACGGGUAUGCCAUCUACCAUCAUGCCGGAUUCUUGUCUGACACCAGUACAAGGUUACCGUGCCUCCACUAUAGCGAGCCUAUUAAAUGGGUGGGAUUAUUCAAACCCUAUAUAUGGAUAAUCCUACAGAUCUUUCGUGCCUUGAGAGAUAAUGGAGACUUGGGAUGACUGUAGGCUUCUCCAUUGAUAAUUCGACCUGAAAUGGAAAAGCUUCUUGGACAAUGAGCAAGUGAUUCCAACGGAUGAGAACUUUCCCAAUCAAGUCUCUUGAUUUUUACAUCAUUAAAGUAACCCAUGAGGUGUGAAGUAUUCUUGAUAUUUUUAGAACAUGCUACACUACAUGGAUGUAGGCCAAUGUACCACCACUUUGUCAUGGAUGGCCUAAAUUCAGACUAAUUGACUACCUCAACUGGACAUGAUCUUAAAUGAUGACUAAUCACCGUGGAAUGAUAUAUACUUAUCCAAGACGGCAGAAGAAUGAAAAGCCUGCACGGAGGCAACCCUCGUAUUAGCCUUAUAUAAUAUAAUAGGGACGAUAACAAGACAAAUACCAAAAAUAUCUAGUCCAUAACAGUGACCCAUAAUAUAGCAGGCCUAUGAACCAAAUAUCUUAAGCCUAUUAACCAAGAUAUGGUAAAGCACAUAUUACGACUAUAUCUAACACCCCUACUCAAACUCAUGAUGUAGUAAAUGUCAGGAGUUUUCUGAAGAGAUGAUAUUCUGCAAACGUCCUACUAGUUGAUCAAACAUACUUGUCUUCGACUGCACCCAACCGUGUUUGUGAGCCUGCAGCAAUUUGCGAUGAAAAACUGAAUGAAAAAUAUAUAGAGCUAAAUUGUUUAUUUCUAUUGAAAGACUAAUCCCAAAUUUACACAAAUUUGUCAAUACGUCGAAGGGGACAAAUUCUGCUUUUAUCUCCGAAGCAAGCCACAGAGAAUGGAGAGGUGAUUGAGCCACCAAGAGAGUAGGCAAUAAUGAUCUGAUAUGGGGCAAGAGGGGGACGAGCAAGAUCCGAUGAGGAUAACAAAGAAAAGGAGAGUGGAAAAAGAUCCGAUAAGGGCUGCCAAUAUAUCAGAGGGAACAAGGUCCAAAAGGACCAACCAAAGAGAGAUCAAAGGGGAGGCAGAAUGGAACAAGAUCCGAAGAGUACCAACCAAACACAAGAUUUUAUGAGAAUCACCAAGAGAUAACAAGAUCCGAGUACGGCCAACUUAGAUCCUAAGACGGCCAACGAAGAUAAAGGGAGAAGGAGAGAGAAAUAAGAUCCGAAAAGGAACGACAAUACCAAUAUCCAAUAAGAACCAUCAAGAGAAAAGAUAUAAUGAUCACCAAGAGAUAGGAUUCGAAAGGACUCCAAGGGAUCAAGAUCCGAUAAGGACCAUCAAAGGGGAGUGGGCGAGAGAUGAGGGGGAUUGGACGAGAACGGGGACAGAAACCUAAUAGAAACCCUAAGGCUCUGAUGGAGAGAAGGGAUGAUGACCAAACUCUAGAAGACAAACAAGCCCUAGCUCUUAGAGGGGAUGAGGACGAACAAGACGAGGGAAAACUGAGGACAAGGGGAUCUUAAUGAUGGUGAACAAUGCUAGGUUGGCAAAUCUAAGGAUUAAGAGAAGAGAGAGAGGAUGGUGAUGGUCGCGAUGGAAUUCCGUAAUGGUGCUGACAAUGGUGAUGGAAGUCCCAGAUCUUGACCCGUGCGCGCUACAUCUCUUGGGUUUUAUCACAGUUGGAAAUUGGUGGUGGCAUCGAGUUGAUCUUUGGGACUGAGAGACUUAGUGGGUCCUCUAGUUUCUAUUCCCCCACUAUAGCGUGCGUAUCUUAUUCUACGGUGGAUUAUAAAGUGAUCAAUGUCCUCCACAAGGAGCACAUCUUGUAUGGCUUGUGUGAGCAGAAGAAUUAAUUGACUGAAGUGGUAACGCCUAUAAUAUAAUAAAAAUGGAAUGACGGCUUUAUUUUAUCAUGUCACAUUAUUCUUCUUGUUACCUCAUCAUGCCAAAUAGCAAAUGACUGGCCCACACCGACUCAAAGAGAGUUCUACCUAGAACAUCCCUUGAGCUUCUUCUCCGUACAGUCAACAUCACCCAUUAUUAUGAUGAGCAUGAAUAUCGAGUUUAAUUUGUAGCUUAUGAAGAGCAUAAAUAUUGAGCAGUUGGGAGUUUAUUGAACACGAUAUUUACAAUGUGAGCAUUCAGCUAGAUUUUUCUCAUUUGAUGUAUACAUAAGCUAUCUCUGUGUUAUAGAAUUCUUAUUGGAUUAUAAGCAAAUAUCAAAAAGAGGGAAAAGAAAACUGAUGGUUGAUGACGCAUGGUCCCUAUCCCUCUCUCUUGUCUCUAUAUGCCUCUUCCCCCCUCGUUCCGUAUCUCUUUCUUCCCCCUCUACAUCUCGUGAUGUUCAUCAGUCCACUUUUUCUUUUUGCCUCUCUUUCGUUCUGUGCAUUGGCAUCAAUCCCAGACUAUUUCUCACUCUAUCCCUCUUCAGUCUUCACUUUACUCUUCCGAUGAUCUCUCUCUCUCUCUCUCUCUCUCCCCCCCAAUGUAAGGGUGACUUGGUCAUCCCUUUUAAAAGAAGGUCCUACUUUAGACCACAAUAAUCAAAGUCCUACUUUAUUACAGUGCAUUCUAUAUUCUCUUCAUCAUUUAUUACUCAGUAUCUAUCUAUCCAUCUAUUUAUUUAUCCAUCUAUCUUCCUAUCCAUCCAUUUAUCUAUCUAUCUAUNNNNNNNNNNNNNNNNNNNNAUCAUUUAUUACUCAGUAUCUAUCUAUCCAUCUAUUUAUUUAUCCAUCUAUCUUCCUAUCCAUCCAUUUAUCUAUCUAUCUAUCUAUCUAUCUAUCUAUCUAUCUAUCUACCUACCUAUCUAUCUAUCUAUCUAUCCAUCUAUACAUCCAAACUAGUGUAUAUUUUAUCUACUCCUCCAAUGGACAUAUGCUUCUUCAACGACUGAAAGAGGAGGAACAAAGGAGAAUAGAUGUUGGUGAACCUUGAGUGCAGACGGAAAUGGUCUAAACAUCGCUUUCUCUUGUCAGAGAUAAAUUGAAUACCAUUAGCUGAAAGUAUCGACUCCAUUCCAUUAUGAUGAGGUCCAUCUCUCACAAGUCACCGUUCUCUUCCUCGUGAAAUUUCUUGGAGCAGUCCCAGUCUUACUAAAUCAGCUCAGAAACAGCUGCUCCAACCCCAGCCUAUUUUAUUGUGCGAUUGAAUUUCCUCCUGUCACAUUAAUUGCUGGUUAAUUCAUAUUUAAUCGCUCGGACUAAUCGAUCAAAGCCUUAUCUGCGUUGGCGUGGAUUGGCAUCAUCGGUCUGAUUUGGACACCCCAAAACCCCUUCUCGCUACUUGGGCAAAAACUGUACUGUUACCUAUCAGGUUUAGUAGAAAAAUUAAUCCUUGACUAAAUGAAGAUAUCUUGUCUGACUUUCUGUGAUGGUAUUUGAAGCCGUAUUCCAUUUAAGAAACACUAGUUGACAACCGCGGUAAUGAAGGAAAGGAGGAAACUUUGCGUGAGAGAGAGGGACAGAGCCACGAUUGCAAGUAGGCAUUCUUCCUACAUCGACUUAAUGACAAGGAGACACCAGCUGAUAAGAUUUCUCACCUUUCGGGUGAUGGCUGCGUUCUUGCUGGCCAAGUAUAUGUUUAUCUUCAAGGACUACCAGAGAAGCUACGAAGGAUAGGAAAUCAGAGUUCUCACUUACGGUAACUAACCUCAAGAGACAUCUCUUUGAUAUUGAGAAUUCCAAGACCCGAGCGAGAUUUCUCUUAUAUGCUUAGGAAUGUUUGAGCCAUAGAAGACAAGUAUGAGUGGAAGUUGAUAUUCCUGUCGUCAACUCCAUCACUAGAAAACAGCUAAAUAUUCUAUUGACUCCGUUGCCAUUACAUGUAAGGCUAAACGUUCGACACUGUAUCUAUAGAUUUGACGCUUUCUGUGUAGACAACACCAGUUUUCCCCAAUGUGAUGUGCAGUUAAACCUAUUCCUAAAAGGAAUAGUUAAUAUGACGCUUUCUUCAACUUCGUGUGUUACCUCAGCCAUGUUUAUGUCUUGUUCCCACCCAAGGAGACUUGACACUCUAAGCUUUCAUCAUUAUUCUUCCCCAAUGUUAACCUGUCAGGGACCACAUCACCCAUAGAGAGACCUUUUGUAAUGGAUAGGAAGAACAUGAAUAGAAAAAAGAGGGAGGUGAGAGGGGACUGAAUAUGUAAUGGUGACUUGGUCAUCCCUUCUUCUGUAAGGCCCAUAUGGGUCACAUCUCUCCUUUUGGGCUUUCACUUAUGAUUGUUUUCUAUCUAUAAAAUGGUCCGGUCCCUUUUCUGUAAUAGAUAUUUAAAGGGAGCUCAAGGAGAGAGAAAGGAGAGAGGAAAUAGACAAAUUUAGGGCAUGAGAAACCAUAUCUUCUCUGGCGGCUGCAACAAGAGUUGUGACCAUCUCUCUCUCUCCCUUACUGGUGGUUGAUAUUAUUGCUUCAUUAACUCUAUCUCUAUUAUAUUAUGUUCCUCAGACAUUAGAUAUUUCUCAUUCUUUUUUGGUUUAUUAGUUGUGAGGUGUAUUUAUCCUCUUUAGACCGCAGUAUCACAAUCUACUUUAUUAUAGCCCAUUUUACAUUCUCAUUACCAUUUAUUGCUUAGAAGACUUAUUGCACUUGUCUCUCUAUUUUUUGCUACAUUCUUAGGCCAUUUCCGGGCCCAUUAAGAUCCUAUUCCAUGCUCUAUUUCCUAAAAAACUAAUAUCAAAGUUAGGUUAGAGUUUUAUUUUAGCAGAUAUAGAGAUAUAGGAUGUUUACUAAGUUUGAUAUUGAGAAGUUCAAUUGAAGUAUCAACUUUGAAGUAUAGUAGGUCAAGAUGAAAGCCCUCUUGGCCCACCAAAGGCUACAUAAAUCAUUAUUGGGAAAGAAAAAAAUGACAAUUACUAUCUAUGGAAGCAAAAUAGGAAUUAGACAAGAAAGUUCUUACUGUGAUCCAGCUUAGUUUCUCCAAUGAUGUUCUGUGUAAGGUUAUUUAUGAAACUAUAACGGCUACAUUAUGAUUGAAAUUGGAGUGAUUGUAUAUUAUUAGAUCUCUCAACAACAAACUAUUUAUGAAUUAAUGUUUAUUCAUGCUCAAGAUGGUAGAAGGUACAUCAAUUAAAGCUCACCUUGAUGAGUUCAAUUUUAUUUUGCUAGAUUUAGAAAUAUUGAUGAGAGAGUAAAGGAAAAAGAUUAGGCCAUGUUUUUACUUUGUUUGUUACCACCAUCAUAUAGACACUUUCAAGAAACUUUAUUGUAUGAUAGAGAGACCAUAUCUAUUGAAGAUGUUAAAUCUUCUUUAUUUUUGAAAGAGUUGAUUGAGAAAAAGAUGACUUUUAUUUUAGAAGGAUAACAACUUGAAUGUCUUAUUAUUAGAGGCAGACCUAAAGAGAAAAGCCAUUGGGGAAAUAUAAGUGAGUUAGGAACAAGUUUUGCAAUUAUUAUUGUGAGAAGGGAUAUGUCAAAGCUGACUACUAUAAACUCAAGAAAAGGCAGCAAGAAGACUCUAAGGAGUUUAAUCGUAAAAUCGUUGAUAUAUAAAUUAUUGUAUUUGUUCAUUGGGAUGGUGAUCCUUAACUGGUGGUGAAUGAGACCCAUCGCCACCAUGGUAUGGACUCAAGGCAAUGGAGGAGCCCCUGCUCAUGCAUACUCAAUUGGAACAAGGAGCACAAGCAAAGGCGAAGGACCCUAGGUUCUACUACACUACCUGAGGUGCUUUACGUCUUCCAUCAUUCGUCUCCCAUGUCUGCGAACAGCCUAGGCCCUAGCUUCACCACAUAUGGGGGCCUCCCAUCCCUUUUGUCUGUGUUGGGCCCAUGGCGGGAGGUGGGGAGGCCCAUUCCUCCUUUUGUUUUGGUCCUUCCCUUCCCCUUCUCCUUUGGUCCAUAUGUGUUGGGCCCAAAUGGAGAAGGAGGUGUCCUUCUUGUCCUUACCUUCCUCUUUGUGGAGGCUAUCAUCGUUUAGGCCCAAUUAGAGAGGAGAGCCCACCCCGGACUAUGGAAGAAAGACAAAGAUCAGCGUGAACCCACCCCUCCUACCCCCAUCGCCCCAAAGUGAGAUAAUUCCCGACCCAACCCCUACACAGGUUCAAAUUGGGCACCCAUAGGGAUAUCGAUGGUUAGAUCUGUAGAAUCAUAUAGUAUAUUGGCAUCCUAAUAUUCAACAAAAUAUUUUAGCACUCUGUAUUACUGACCAUAAAAUAAGCGUUAAUAUUAUAAGGUUAUAUAUUAGAUUUUUUUAUCGUUUGGGGCUUUCUAAAGUUUAAGGGUGUAAACCCAUAGGAAUAUAUCGCGUAUUUCUUACUUCUCCGACGCGCCGACUCUCACUGGAGGCGUGCCUCGUGCCUCGACGCGCCGCCAUCUGUUUUGGCUUCUUUUCUUUAUCUCGGCUUACUCUCAUCCGCCUCCCUUAGUGAAGAAACCAGGGCAAAAUGCGAAGAGAGAGAGAUCCGGUGAAUAACGAGCGCGAUAGAAGAAGAGAAAGAGGGAAAGAGAGAUGGUAAGGGCAGCAGCAGUAAGGUCUUCCUGUGACUCUCCCUUGUUAUCGUUCAGGGGUACGUCGUGCGAGAAGAGAGCCCUCACAAGCUAAGGAGAAGGUUACCCAACACCACAUCUUCCACGACACUGUUACUGGUAAGAACCCUGCCGCUGUUUCCGCCGCGCAGCCCAACGGCACUUUCCCCUCUAACUUCGGCUCCGUUAUCGUUAUUGACGACGUCCUGACGGUCCGGGUGGAUCGGGCGUCCAUGGUCGUCGGCAGCUUCCAGGGAUUUUACGCGUUAACUGACCUGACUAAUUUCCGGAAAAUCCUUCGGCGUGAUGUCCGGAAUCCCAUUUUGUACAUCAUUUUGUAAAUAAUAUACAAAAUGAUUUGGUAAAUCUGACGGCUGUGGGUUCCCAACCCCGGGUUAGCUAUUGAAAGAUGUCCGGAAGAGGUUGUACCAGAUGGGAUUGGCAUCCUGGGCCCCAAGCGUGGCCCUCCCCCCGUGGCCCAUGUGGGCCCCUAUAUAUAUGGGUGGAGAGCCACUGGCAACAGAGGCAGUUUUUUUUGGGAAAGAAGAAUACGUGUUUGUUGAUCCUCGCUCAAGGAGAAAGACAGGGAGAGAGAAAGGGUCUGAGGGGAGGGGAACGCCCGACAACACGCCGCUACCAGGCUGCUGACCGCCAGCUGUGCUGCCGCCUGUAUGCCCGCCCGGCGCACUCACUUACCGCGCUGCGGACGUGCGCCAGCCACACGCCGACGCGCCCCCGCGCCCGUCCGCGGGCCGUUAUCACGCCUCUACGCGUGGCCAGUGCGCUCGCUCGUGCGCCGUCGCCGCAGUCUCCGGAGUCUGCCCGCGUGCAGCCGGGACUCCCCGCCUCCUUCCUCAGAUCCACCAGGCGUUCGCCCGGCGCUGUCUCCGCGCGCCCCUUCGGAUGCCAACAGCGCGCCCGAUACCCCCUUGGCACCGCCCAUGGUGGGCCAUUCCACGCACCAGCAGAGUGUCGGUUCGUGCGCCCCCGGCGCAUUGUUGUUCGCUGGCCGGGAACCAGUUGCCCAGCAGCCGUCACACCAGCCGCCCCUGCCCGCCACAUCCGGAGCUUGCACCGCUGCGCUGUCGACCAUCCUGCCCUCACACGAUAGCCCCGCCGGCUCUGCCACGACCAACCGGGCCUCGGCCCGCAGGUUAGCCCUCGUCCCCCCCAUUCCGUCAGGUCCUUUACUACGUGCAGCAUCAUCUUGCAUCUGCUCCACUGCCGUUGGACCUAGUUAGGUUGGGACGGACAAGGAGUCACCGUCGUGCCGUGCUGACGCACGCACCAGACUUGACGCGUUGUCCGUCGGGCACUCGCGGCAGGACUUCGUCGUUGACACCGGGCCUUCACCAUCCGGACAAGUACUCGGAGGGUCUCCCUGCACUAGCACCUAGGGCGACCCCCUCCCUCUCUCUCCAACGGACGCACCAUCGGUGUCGUUGCCGGACGGCUGCUUGCAUGUAGAAGAGUCAGUCUUCGUUAUUUAGAACCCUGGGUCAGCCUACUUGGCGGUGCAUAGGGGAACCAACCCACGGCGACACCCCCCCCCCCCACCCCCCCCCAACCACCACAUUGUCCGGGCGGUCUAACCCACCGGUGCUGCAUCAUUAACACAAUUGCCAUGUCAGUAAGAGCAAGCAGGUGGGUAUAAUAGUUUUCACCUUCAGGAUCUGUAGGACGUCGAUGGGCCUAAUGAUCACAAACCUUUGUCUAUUUGCUCACAAUUGGUUACCUAGGCUUCUGCAUGUUGUUGAUGACUACUUCCUCCAUGAUUGAUGGAGUUUCUGUUACGUCUCUUUCCUUGAUUGUAGUGAUGACCAUCUUGUUAUUUCUUUUCUAUGUACAUUUGAACAUGCUUUGGUCCCAAGGCGUCGUGGUCUCCGGGAUGGAGGAAGGACGCUCUGGGCUAGACGCUCUAAGAAUGGCAGCGGAGCGCCACCGAGGGAUGAAGGGAGUAGGGUUCAAAGCAAACAUUCUCGUAUUCCUCCUUAUGGCCUUGGCCUAUCCGUUCAUCCUGGUCGCGAUAACUCUUCUCCCUCUUCCGUAUCUGGUAUUUUCGAUCCUACGCUGGUUACUCUACCCGCUGGUAAUGUUGCUAAUCCAGGCCAUUAACGUGGUGUUCCACUUUGAGUGUCUCGAGAAUCAGGAAGAAGAGGCCAUGAGGAAGAUUUAUUAGCGUACACAAUGGUUCUACCUGAGGAACCACGUGGCCACCAUUGACUCUUGAGAGAUGGAGAAGCUUUCUGAUUAUUCACUGGACGCAUGUAUUAAGUCGCCUGUAGAGGUCCAUAUGACCGCCUCUGUCGCUGUUUUCUCCUCUAUUAAUAUCAAUAUGCCCUUUCUAUUUGGCAAAUCACGUUAAGAAUUCGUGAACUUAUUCAUGUAAGGCAUGACGACGGCACCAGUCAGUGAGGACGAAAAGUUGAAGUAACCAUAGACGAUAAAAGGGAUGUAGAGCUUGGUGACAACCUUGUCCUUCCACGUUAUCUUAGUGCGGAAUAUCAGGUGCUUGAAGGUCAUCUGUUUCUCCUUCAAACCCAUUGCGGCAGUAUAGACAACAGCCAACUUAGGAAACGACGAGAAAAUGAAAAAGGCCAAGAAAGCAUCUACCUCUUCGAAAACGGGCUGCUUGAGAUUAUGAAUUACACUGCCCAUGAACCCACCACCUUCCAUGACCCUUAAGAUCACGUGGGAGACUCUAUUUGAUGCAGGACGAAUAUGAUUGACACAAAUGUGAAAUGCUAUAAAUGAGAUGAAUAACUAACAAGCCACAAAAUUCACACACAUUCAGAUUCGAACCUUUAAAGCCGACUGCGUGACACUAAAAAGACCGUUCCGUUCCUCAGUCGAGGGCUGAAGGAUCAUCUCAAAUCAUCGUGAUAAAUCAAAGCUCUACGUUUCAAAAUCUCAGUCGGUCUCCAAACAAGGAAAACAUAGCCCACACGGCUGAUCACGAGCCCACACGGCAAAUCAUGAGCCCACAUGGCUAGUCAUGAGCCCACACGGCUAAACCUAAUGGUGGUGGAAUCACAAACGAGGAAAAAUGAGAUGAAAUCAAUGCACACAUUCACUGAAAGGGUUAAGAGUGGACUUUGGGCGUUUGAACGCCGAGAAGUCGACGUCGAGGAUACUUUGGAGAAGAGUGGGCUCAUCGCGGAUCCAACUAUGUGGUCAGUUGGCGGGGGUCAAGGGGAAGCUGCCCCCUUGCAGGGCUCGGGGCAGCACCCCGAAACCAAAUCCGGUGGAUGACAGGAGCAAGGCGCGCAGUGCAUGCACGGUAGCUGACAAGGGUUGGAAGCUGUCGCGGAGGAUGAAGAGUCCAGGUACGUUCGCUGCGUGCGGGACGCUCCGGUCGCAACAGGGCGGCAGCAGUCGCGCAGACGCCCGUGGAGAGGAGUUCGCCACGUGCGGACGGCGACCCGGCGUGAACCGUCCCUCGGCGGCGGACGCUUGACGCUGUUGCAGAGGACGUCCGCGGCUGCGGGGCGAGGAGUCACGCGGACGCCGUGGAGAGGAGCUCGUCAUGUGCGGACAGCGAUCUGGCGGAACCGUUUCUCGACGGCAGAUGCUAGACGCUAUUGCGGAGGACGUCCGCGGCUGCGGGGCAAGGAGUUGUGCGGACGCCGCGGAGAGGAGCUCGUCGCGUGCGGACGGCGAUCUGGCGGAACCGUUUCUCGACGGCGGACGCUUGACGCUGUCGCGGAGGACGUCCGCGGCUGCGGGGCGAGAAAUCGUGCGGACGCCGCGGAGAGGAGCGCGUCGCGUGUAGACGACGAUCCGGCGGAGCUGCUCCUCAAUGGCGGACGCCUGACGCUGACACGGAGGACGUUCGUGGCUGCGGAGUAUUCCGUCAUCCGUCGAGAUGGUUAGGUCUCGCGGAUGUGUGCGGAAGGAAGUCCGCCGUGCGCGAUCAGUGAACUGACGGGAGGUCGUCAGCACGAAGAGGAGUGCACGAGAACUGAUGGAGGGCUCGUCCGGAGAGGGAAAGUUGACCUUGGAGUAGGGUGGGACCCAUGCGACGGCGGCGGCUACAGGUGGCAGCGGUCGCACAGAUCCCCUAUGGCACGUUCUUAGGAAAGAUACCUUUCUUAAUUCCAAAAUCAGCCACCAGUUUAAGGAAUUCUUAAGCCUAUUUAUAGGCCUUGGAAUGAAAAAGAAGACUACAAUAAGAUCAAGCAAAAUGAGCAAAAAUUAAGCCUAAUAAUAAAGGAAAUUCGGAUCCUUCAGUUGGGUCUGACGGCGACGACGUGGGAUGGCUGUAGAUGACAUGGCAUCCUCUGACGUCGUUGCCUCCACUGGUGGAGCUUGGGUACAUGCUCCACCACUGUUUACCAUGACUUCUCCUAUAUGCCUGGAAAAGAAGAUGAGGGCACUGAGGACAAUCGAGUUGGAGAGGAGAAACAUGAGUAGGAUUGGAAGCAGUGGCCUUCGACUUCCUAGAUUCCUGAACAAUCUUCAGGCAGCUGUUGAUUAAUCCCUCUUCUAUAAUCAUGGCUACGACGUAUAUCUUCCUUUUCUAUUUGUCGACCUUCCUAAACUCCUUUUUUAUGCUCGUCCUUUCUUUCUGACAAUAAAUAACUCUUGUUGUGUAUUUUUUGUGAAAUGAUGGGGCCUUUAGGGGAAAUUCCAAUUUUUGCGUUGGGAAGCUAAGUUAGACAUAUCACUAUAAAGUGUCCCUAUUUGACUAGAUUAUAAUGGUCUCCUCCACCAAUUAGUCACUGAUAUGAAAAAGUCAUAAAUUUCUUGCUUCAUGACUUUCAACAGACUUAAUAUGAAUCAGGCGUGGAGGAUUAAAGCCAAUUCAAUGCUUGUGCCAUCUAGCAGUAUUUCUUGUGUAAGAGAUGAAUGUUAAGUCGAACUUAAUGCUUGUCCUAUCUUGCACGAAACAAAAAUUAAAAUAAAAUAGCUGGGAUUUGUAAAAAGCUUCAGCUUUUGCAGACGAACAAGAUUUGGAUGGAUUUCCAUGAUUAAAAUAAAAUACAUCUUCUGAGGGUAAGGUGUGAAUCCAGAUAGCCAUUCUGAAGACUUAAAGAUACAUGUUACAAAAUGGAAAAUCUCUUUGACGUGAAUGCGGUGGUCUCCAUUUUGAACACGACACUGUCUGUGCCGCGCGUGUAAUGGAAAUGAUAUGUUGUAUGUGAGAGAUGGAUUAUAAAAUUAGUAUAGCACCUUCAGUUAAACGCGGUUCUGGAUGGGGUGUUACAGUUCUUUUUCUGGGAUCCUAUCUACCACCAUUCAAUAUUCUUCUUUGGUUCCGGUAAAAAGCUAUUGUGCGUCCACUAACAUAAGGCAAGUAAAUGGUUGGGAUUAUUCAAAUCCCAGAUAUGGAUAAUCCUACAAACCGUCGGUGCUUUGAUAGUCCCAUUGAUAAUGCACUUGCAAUGGAGAAUGCUUCCUGGAAGAUGAGCGGGUGAUUUCCAAAGACAAGAAGAACCUUCCUAAUGAACUGUAAAUUAUUACAGGUUGAUCAAAGUUUUCUAUUAGGAAUGUAACUAUCCUUGAUUUUAAUAGAGGAUACUACUACAUGGAUGUAAGCAAGCGUAUCAGUAAAAUUUGUGGCAUUAGAACACUACCUAUUUAGUCAUGGAUGACUUAAAUUCCGAUUAACUGACUACCCCAACUAGGGCAGGAUCUUGAAUGAUGACUGAUCCCAUUUGAAUGAUUUAUACUUGAAGAGAGGUAAAGUGAGGUAUCAUACUGCAUUACAAAUCUAGAUGUGACAUGAUGUGGAAUGGAUAGUCAACUAAUCAUAAUCAAGUGGGACGUCGAAUUCGUGGAACUCCUGUCCAAGCUUUAUCAUCUCCGGUCUGCCCAUAUAAACGUGAAUAAGUAUCUAGUGAACGAAACCGAAGUUUUAAUCUAAAUUUCAGAUGAAUAUAAAAUCUGUCAUGAAUCCACAAGGUACUAAAUUUAUAAACUCUUGCGUCCGGAAGGAAUAAAAUAAUGUCAUGGUUCCACAGGGCUGUUCUAUUACCACUUGACAUAUCGGGUGUUGAGUGAAAAUUGAGAUUUGUGCCUUAGAUCCAUAAGGCAAGAAUUUUGAACUUAUAAAUCUAGCCCAAAUUUUACAUGACUUAGAAUCUCCAAUCUUUGAAACCACAAGGAUGGACUAGACUUAUCCUUGAUUCCCCAAGGAUCAAAUAAUUCCCUUGAAUAAACAAGAUAAGUGCUUAAAUCUACAAACAAAGAGAGAAAUCUCAAAGAAGGUAGAGGUCAUACUAUCUCGAAUGAGACAGGGUUACAAUGCAAGGACCUUUUAAUUGGUCUAAAAUCAGUUGUGACAUUAGUAAAAAGAUGGAUCAAUGAUAACAACAUUUUAAAGUACAAUUAAAAAGCUAAAAAAAAAUUACAUAAAAAUCGACAUAACUAUUCUCUGACCUGUUUCUCACACAUUUUACUCCGAGUCUAAUCAGAUUUCGGGUCAUCUCAUACUGCCUGCCCUCCUUAGGGCUUCCAGAAUGCUUGGGUCACCCGUUUUGGGCGACCUGGGUAAAAAACUUCUUGCCCCUAUCUUUUUUAGAAGUGAUGUCCUAAAUUACAAAAAUUAGGAUAGAAAAUAAAUUUUUUUACUCCUGUUAGCCGCCAGUCGCCCUAAUCUUAGUUGUGCUUUCUGGUCUUCAAUAUAAGACAAUUUUAUGUUCGGCCUUCGAGCUUCCAGCCGCUUAAAGUCGGCAUGGCUAUGAAUGGAGCCGUAGGUUUUCCUCAACGACAUGCUUUCCUGGAUUGAGAGGACCUUGGCACCGCCAAACUCCAUGCAGUCACGUUAUGAUCGCGUCCAUUUUGAUCUGGCGUUUUUCAGUAAUUUUGUUGCAGGAGAUGAAUGUCAAUAUUUGGAAGUGCCUUGGUUUGAAUCCAUGCUUGUUACAUCUCUUGGGUUUUUCUCACAGCUGGAAACUGGUCGUGACAUCGAGUUGAUCUUUGGAAGUGAGAGACCUACUGGGUUCUCCGCGUUCUAUUCCUCCCACGACGGCGAAAGAGUGUUAUUCUGCUGUCGAUUUAAAGCUGAUCUAUGUUCUGCACAAGUAGAAGUUUUCAGUGAGUGUUCUGACGUACUUCGGCCGCUACACUCUCUCGAUUUACAUGCUGGUGGUGCAGGUCUCUUCGUUGACUUCAAGCGUGAAGGAUGUGUUUCGUCACCUCUUGAAUCAUCACCCCAAUAUAAAUUCAUGGUAUCUUAACCACUGCGAGUGAGACUGUCCCUGGAGGACAGUGCUGAUGUCCCGGAGUCUGCUUGGAUCUUACUAGGCAACAUUCUCAGCUGCUUCACCAUGCUGUCUGUCACUCGCGACACGGUCUAUCUCCUUCUUUCUCAGUCCUAAUCUCUCUCCUUUUCUCUCUUUCCCUCGCUUCCCAUUCCUCUUCCUCCGUUCCCUCUCCUCCUCGUUCCCCCGUCUCCUUCCCCUUUAAUCGCUUACUAUAGGAAGUUGUUCACUUCAUUGUCUGUGAUCCUCAUUUAGGGAUUACUCUUCUAAUAUAACAGAAAAGCUACCCAUUCCGCGUGGGACUUUCUAACCUAAAGGAAGAACAUAUACAGGAGGUUUUCUUCCCGAGAGAAGAAAAAAAAAGACUGAAACGGAGCAAUAAAUGAUGUAGAGUCACAGAGAACCGCCGCCGGUGGUUUGUCCCAGCACUGACCUCCCAGCUCAACAAAAGGAAAGUCACCCCUUACAGGUGGACUACUGGUAAUAUCAGAGAGUGGUGUUCUGAAGACAUUGAAAUACUUACAAUUCAACCAUUUGAACAAGGGUUCCAAAGUUGUGAAGGUGUCUGGAAUAUGAGGUCUUGUGUAUGUUUCGAAAUGUUGGAUGAAACUAAAUAGUUUCAUGAUUAAUCUUCAUCUUAUUUUGAUUAACGUUUGAAAAAAUCAUAACAAUAAUUAGUACCGAACAAGUCAAUAUUUUGGAUGCUUUGGCUCCACUUGGGUUUUGAGGUAUCUGAUGUGAGACAUGAAAAAUGGGCUAAGGACUNNNNNNNNNNNNNNNNNNNNNNNNNNNNNNNNNNNNNNNNNNNNNNNNNNNNNNNNNNNNNNNNNNNNNNNNNNNNNNNNNNNNNNNNNNNNNNNNNNNNNNNNNNNNNNNNNNNNNNNNNNNNNNNNNNNNNNNNNNNNNNNNNNNNNNNNNNNNNNNNNNNNNNNNNNNNNNNNNNNNNNNNNNNNNNNNNNNNNNNNNNNNNNNNNNNNNNNNNNNNNNNNNNNNNNNNNNNNNNNNNNNNNNNNNNNNNNNNNNNNNNNNNNNNNNNNNNNNNNNNNNNNNNNNNNNNNNNNNNNNNNNNNNNNNNNNNNNNNNNNNNNNNNNNNNNNNNNNNNNNNNNNNNNNNNNNNNNNNNNNNNNNNNNNNNNNNNNNNNNNNNNNNNNNNNNNNNNNNNNNNNNNNNNNNNNNNNNNNNNNNNNNNNNNNNNNNNNNNNNNNNNNNNNNNNNNNNNNNNNNNNNNNNNNNNNNNNNNNNNNNNNNNNNNNNNGUGGGCUUUAGAAGAUCACCUAUCACAAAGGUUAGUCCUAGAGGUUUCCUCAUGCUAGGAAAAGGGAGGGAUCGACGAAACUAAGAAAUCACCAUGGAUGAGGCACUCCACAUUCAAUGUCUGGACUCGGGCAAUCAAGUGGACCACUCUCUCACUAUUACCCCCUAACUAAAUGUUUAGAGGACUAACUAGGAUAUACUAAUUGGCGAGUCAAUCUGAAGUUUAUUGAAAAAAAAAUGUAAAUGAGAGGGAAGAAGUCAGACAAUAUCCUCGACCGAGUCGGGGUAGGUGUGGGCAGUCAACGUACAGGAAUUUGCUGGGACACGAUCGUGUGGUCCCUGCGGCAUCAUUACAAGCAGCAGUAGCUUGACAACCCCCCCUAGCAACUCGCAGAUGACUCAGAAGGGGAUGAAGGUGGUGUGGGAAUAGAUAGGGUUAGCUCCAAUUAGGAGUACGGGGUCCUCUCGCCAGCUCCUACCGAGAGCGACGUGAUCAUCUGACCAACCCUCAAGGAGCGAAACGUAUAAGGCAAACUCCAGAAGUUCUUCUUUACUUCAACAAUUGUUUUUAGGGCUAUUUAUAAGGCCCACAAGGAGACAAAUAUCAAAUAAAAUUAGGUCUAUUUAAUGAUAAAUAAAGUCAUUUGUUAGGCGUUGAUUGUUGAUAUGGCUCCGAUGUGGAUAUGGGUCUGUGUUCUUGAAGCCUUGAGGGUGAAAUGGUGCAUUGCCUCCUCUUCGAUCCCCGUCAGCUCUCCCCUACUCAAAAGAACUUGACUCCAUAAAGUCCAGUAGGAAUAUGCUCCGAUAACAUUCCAAGGGAGCUAAAUUCAGCUAGUUGAACUCUUCCUCAGUCACCCAACAAUCAUCUUAAGAUGGCUUCUCCUUCUAACAUAUGAGGAAACGUUGCAACUCACCAUCCUUGGUAGAGAAAGUUUGUUCAUUUAAUAUAUAUUUUAUUUUACUCACGCCGUGAAGGAAAUAAAAUUGGUGGAUACUGAAGGUUCAGGUCACUCCCAAUAAAUGGUGAAGGCUCAAAUGGCCCACUUUAAAUAGUUGGGGGGCCCUAUGGGCAUUAAAAGAUGUUAUUUUUUGAAAGUCAUUAAGAACAAUUUAAAUAAAUAAACUUUGUGGAAAUGGAUUUAGGAACGGAAUAAGUACCGAAGGAGAGUCAUCCCUUCAUCAAUUGAGCUUCAUCAAUAAAAAGUGGACCACAAGGCCUCCGCUAAGAGGAACCACUCCUUUCCAUAUGCUCGUUCGUAUCGGUUGCACCUUCCCUCAUGAGGCACACCAUUCUCUUUGAUGGGCCUUACUCAAAAUGCCCGCUCCACAUAAAUUCUGCGAAGAGGUUAAUAACAUUUUUUCUCAUAAGAGCUUUCCGAAACAUAACAGACAUAUCGAUAAUGAUGGCUGAGAAAAUAGUGAACAUCUGCAGAUGACGGAAGAACAUCCACCCAGUUAAUAAUAGUCACAGAGCUUCGGCAUCUCUCAAGACUCUACGGUGGGUGGCCUCAUGGUUCCUCCUGUAGAGCCCUCGUGUACGCUCUGUUCUCCUUCCUCGUGGCCGCUUCCUCCUGAUUUCCUUGGCACUCGUAGUAGAACACCACGUUGACUGUCUGGAUCAACAUAAUCACCAACAAGUAGACUAACGAGGACAGGAUCGAAUUGAGCAGAUUGGGCAAAGGGAAAAGGGUUACGAUUGAGAACAACGUUUGGGCCAAGGUCACAACGAGAAACAGGAGAAUGUUUACUCUGAACCCUAAUCCCUUCGUGCCUCGGACGCGCUCCGCUGCCCUUCCAAGAGCGUCCAGCCCGGAGCGUCCUUCCUCCAUCACGGAGACCACAACGCCUUGUGACCAAAGCAUGUUCAAGUGUACAAAGAGGAGAAAUCCCAGGAUGGCCACGGCCGCGAUUAAGGCAAGAGACGCAGCGGAAACGCCACCGAAGAGGACGACAGCACUCAUCAGCAAGAUGCAGAAGUUCAGAUAACCCGAGGUGAGGAAGUAGACAUAGAGGUUUGUGGCCAUCACGCCCAUCCACGUCCUCCGGAUCCUGAAGACGAGAUCCUUCAGGGCCACCUCCCGGUUCUUCCCCACCAUGGCUACCGUGUAAAUGAUCGCUAUCACGACGAACGAAUAGAGAAGGUAAUAGACUAACGACCCAACGAUUAUGGCUCUGCCAAUCUGCUGGAGAUCAGUCCGUAAUGCCGAGAAUACCUCAUCAAUUGAGUCAGUGCCAGAAUCCUGCAUGCCUAGGAUGCGUAUAUUCCUGAGAAGUCCCGAAGUUGCAGGGUAGACGGAAGACCAGGUUCUAGAGCGGCUGAGACAGCUGAGUACAAGAAUGAUAAGCAGGGCGGACAGCAUGGACUUACAGCUCCUCCAGAACAGCCUUACACCUUUCCAAACAAUCUCCACGGCCGUCAACGGCCGAGGCGCCUCCUUACCCAUGGCUUCCCCGUGUAUCUUGCUUCCUGCUGAAUUCAGCCCCUUCUCAGCUCCCUCUUCUUCCUAUUUAUGCUCCUCCUGUUCUUUCCCGAAGGUCUCUCUACGGGUGAUGCGGUCCGUGGCAGGUUCACCACGGGGAAGAAUCAUGGCGGAAGCUCAUUGGAGCUCAAGCCUCCUCGGGCGGGGAAGGAAGAUUAAAAUGUGGUUCAGGCGGCGCUCCAAGUGGAAGAAAACGUCAAGUAGCCAUUUUAGGAGCGCAUCUCAUUUGGGGAGAUUGCCUUCGUUCCCACGGCAAGCGUCAAAUCUAUUUAUAGCGAUAUCGAGCAUUCCGCCGUCCAAGUAAUGGCAAUGGAGUCAACGGCAGGAAAGUCAACUUCCGCUCAUAUCUGUCUGGGAACGGCCCGAGUCAACUUCUCACUCGAAAAGAGAUCUCUUUUGAUGUUCACGCAUACGGAAAGAGAGAUCUCUGGUCUCCAAUGGGCACUCGGCCUUUGCCUCCUUUCCUCCGCGGACCUUCUGGUAGAAGAAUUGGUCAACUGGGUGACCGCAGAUAUUGAGUCUGACCUUCGAGCUGGGCCCCACCAAAGAUAGUGGGCCUCACUUUCAGGCCCAGUUGGUAAAUCCCCGGCCCGUAAGCGGGUGACCCGGCCGACUCGGCUCAGCCGACACGAAUCGUCCCUUCGCGGGGAAGCAAAGCCCGCUCUCUCCUCUAUGAGCGUCGGUUCUACGCUAAGGAGGGUGACGUCACCCUCCCCGUUAUAGCUAUAAAUACGCGUUCCCCCCUCCAAAAUCCCCCCCUUUCUCUCUCUCUCUCUCUCUCUCUCUCUCGCGCGCGCGCGCGCUCUGUGGAAUUGGCGAUGGGAGGCUCCCACAGUCGAGAGGGAUUGGAAAUCUCUGAUUCAGAGGCCGAGGAGGAGGAAGAAGAAGACAGGGUGGAGACGAGGCGCGGCGGAGGGGAUCCGACGACGCCGCACGGGUCCUCAGGCAGUAUGAGGAAAAGCUCGGCCCUAGACGAUGUCGAGGCCGGGCUCCAAUCGCUCAAGCUCAAGUAUGCGUCCGCCUCUCCCUCGUCUGAUUUCUCCCCGGCAGGCCUUCCGAACGCCGCCAAGCUCUACCUUCACGUCGGCGGUAGCGCUCCUGACGCCAAAUGGAUCGUGUCCGAGAAGCUCGUCGCCUAUUCCUUUCGCAAGUCCUCCCCCACCGGCGGAACGGGAGACGAAUCGGACAGCGAUGGAGAGGCGCCCGCCUCGUGGUUCCUGAAGGUUGGAUUGAAGGUCUGGGCGAGGGUGGACCCUGGGAUGCAGCUGAAGACUUUCCCCGACCAACGACGUGUGGAUUUUGUGGCGGCGGGGGUUUGGGCCCUGAAGUUCUUCACCCCCGAAACCUACAAGCAGUUUUACAACGAUUAUCAGAACUGCUUCUUCGAGAACGUGUACGGGAUGGAGGCCAGCGAGGAGAACAAGAUCAAGGUCUACGGGAAGGAAUUUUUGGGAUGGGUGAAGCCGGAAUUCGCCGACGACACAAUCUGGGAGGACGCAGAGGAGAGCUUCGAGAAGAUUCCUCGCAUGGCGCACUCCAGGUUGAGCCAAGAUCUCCUGAAAGAGUUUGAAGAGGUGGCGGAUGACGGUGGCAUACAGAGUCUUGCUCUGGGGGCUCUGGAUAAUAGCUUUCUGGUGAGCGACUCGGGCAUCCAGGUGGUCAAGAACUUCAGCCAUGGGAUCCACGGCAAGGGAGUAACAGUGAAGCUUGCUAAUAACAUCAGCAGAGGAGCCGAUCGUUCUAAUCUGGAACCUGCUACUCCCAAGAAGGCACUUCUCAUGAAGGCUGAGACCAACAUGCUCGUCAUGAGCCCCGGAAUGGAGGGGCGGCCCCGCGCAGCGGGCGUCCAGCAACUUGACAUCGAAACGGGGAGAUCCAUCGCACAGUGGAAAUUCGAGAAGGAUGGAACAGGCAUCGGAAUGAGGGACAUAACGAAUGAUAGCAAGGGCGCCCAGCUGUACCCGUCGGAGUCCACCUUCCUUGGACUGGAUGAUAACGCACUCUGCAGGUGGGACAUGAGGGACAGGAGAGGCAUGGUUCAGACGAUUGCAAAUGCAGGGGAUUCACCGAUAUUGCAGUGGACUCAGGGGCACCAGUUCUCCAGGGGAACGAACUUCCAGUGCUUCGCUACUACUGGUGAUGGAUCCAUAGUUGUUGGAUCUCUCGAUGGAAGAAUCAGGCUGUACUCAAAAAGCUCAAUGAGGAUGGCGAAGACUGCGUUCCCUGGGCUCGGAUCGCCCAUCACCCAUGUGGAUGUCACUUUUGAUGGGAGAUGGAUACUGGGCACCACAGACACCUAUCUGGUGCUCAUAUCUACAGUUUUUAAGGAUAAGGAUGGGAAGGAGAAGACUGGGUUCAGUGGACGAAUGGGGAACAGGAUUGCAGCGCCAAGACUGUUGAAGCUCACCCCCCUGGACUCCCAGUUGGCCGGGGAAAAUAAUAAGUUUCAUGGUGGCCACUUCUCGUGGGUAAGUAAACUUUGAUAUAAUUUUCUUAUCAUUGACAGUUACAUUUUGUUUUGGCUUAUAUAUCGAUUGCCGAUCUUAAAAAUAUGGAUUCUUUUUUUGUUUAUGGCAACCUUAGUCAGUGCUUGCUCCCCCUUUGUGUAUUGAUCCUUUAGCAGUUCAUCUCUGUGGUAUAUAAAAUUUUCAUUUCCAUGCCCUCCCCGUUGCCACUUCUACAUCUCUGCAGACUAAAUCCUACUUGAUAACAUAUUUGCUUGUUUAUAGGCACGUGGAUAUAGGUUCUGAUCUUUAAACCAGUCUGCAGAAUUUGGGAUUCGUCCGGUUCAAAGAGUCACUGCUUGCUUGUUUUCCUCACACAUUCCUUAUUAUGAUUCUUAAACCUAUUUUUGGUUCAUAUCUGGUCUCAAUAUAUAUAUAUAUAUAGACAGCCGAACAGAGUUAGAACCCAUAAACUGUACUAUUAUUAAUUCUUUUGUGAGGGAUCGGCCUUGAUAAAUUAGAAUAUCGCCGAGGAUUGUUAUGAUCCCUGGCUUUUUUUAUAAGAUGAAGACUGCGCUAGUUCAUGGUGAUGAGCUGCGGUUCUCUGUAGCUCAGCUUCGCGGCUUUGUUCAUAUUUUUGGCAAUUUUUCAGUCUACGGUUGUAAUUAUUUUUCUGGGCUUCAUUUCAACUCUGGUGGCUGGUUACUCAUCUAUGAUGUUCUCCGCAUGUCCGUUGACCUGUUUCCGUAUGCUUGCUGCGUUUUCUGAAGGAUUUCUGAUAUCUGGAAAGGGGGGGGGGGGAGGGUUGACUCUUUUUUAUCAUAAUUUUCCGAUUAUGGAUCGUUGUUUUAUUAUAUAUAUAUAUAUAUANNNNNNNNNNNNNNNNNNNNCUCUCUCUCUCUCUCUCUCUCUCUCUCUCUCUCUUGCCGUACUGCGGGGAGAGAGAUCGCCUUGUUCCUCCCUCGGAUGAGCCGCGAGAUCGCUUUCUUCAUCUGCGUCGGCUGGUUGCGGCGGCACCGGGUGGAGUCCUGAUUGCGGGUUGCAGAAAGAAUGCCGUCGAUAUCCUGCGCCAGCCUGCUGGAGUUGGUCUCCCAGAUGGCGGCGGACUCUGCUUCCUCGAUGAGGCCGCUGAACCCACGCCUACCCCGCGCCGUGACGGUUCCGGGCAUCAUCUCCGACUCCGGCGGCACAGAGGAUGGCGCCGCCGGCCUCUCCUCUGGCGAUCCUCUUCCUCCCCUGGUCGCUGGCGGAGCUUGCGACCCCCCACUCCCCCGCGAGCGGCGGAUCAUCGUCACCAACCAGCUUCCCGUCCUUGCUCACCGGGACUCUACCCGCCGGUGGCACUUCUCCUGGGACGCCGACGCCCUCUCCUUCCAGCUCCGCGCGGGGUUCCCCGCCGGGACGGAGAUCAUUCACAUCGGCACCCUCAGGCCGCAGCCGCCGCCAUCCAACGGCGGUGACGCCAAUGUCGAGGCCGGCGAUCAGGAGGAGAUCGCCCAGCAUCUGUACGAGAAGUUCCGCUGCGUGCCCGUCUUCCUCCCCGAUGAUCUCCACCACCGUUUCUACCACGGCUUCUGCAAGCGCUACCUCUGGCCACUGUUCCACCACUCGCUGCCGAUCUCCGCCACAGCCGGCGGCGGCUGCGGCGCCCGCUUCGACCGCGCCCUCUGGCAGGCCUACGUUUCCGCCAACAAGGCCUUCUCCGACAAGGUGACGGAGGUCGUCGACCCCGACGAGGACUACGUCUGGGUCCACGACUACCAUCUCCUGGUUCUCCCCACCUUCCUCCGCCGCCGGUUCCACCGCAUCAAGCUCGGCUUCUUCCUCCACUCCCCCUUCCCCUCCUCGGAGAUAUACCGGACGCUCCCCGUCAGGGAGGAGAUCCUCCGGGCGCUGCUCAACUCGGACAUGGUCGGCUUCCAGACCUUCGACUACGCUCGCCAUUUCAUCUCCUGCUGCAGCCGGAUGCUGGGGAUCGACUGCCAAUCCAAGAGAGGGUUCAUCGGCCUCGAAUACUACGGGAGGACAGUCGGUAUUAAGAUCCUCCCCGUCGGCGUAGACAUCGGGCAACUGGAGACGGUGAUGAGGUCGCCGGCGGCCGGCGAGAAGACCCGACAACUGAUGCAGCAGUUCCACGGCAGGACGGUACUCCUGGGGAUCGACGACGUCGAUCUGUUUAAGGGCAUCAGUCUCAAGUUCCUAGCCAUGGGUCAGCUCCUGGAAGAUCACCCAGAAUGGAGGGGACGAGCCGUCCUGGUUCAGAUCGCGAACCCUGCGAGGAGCGGCGGGAAGGAGGUCCAGGAGCUGUUGGCCGAGAUGGUCGCCGUCGCCGACGAGAUAAACCGCCGCUUCGCCGUUCCAGGGUACGACCCAAUCAUCCUGAUCCACCGGCAGCUGGCCCCCCACGAGAGGGUCGCCUUCUACGCCAUCGCCGAGUGCUGCGUCGUCAACGCCGUGCGCGACGGCAUGAACCUGGUGCCCUACGAGUACACCGUCUGCCGGCAGAGGAGCCCAGCGGCGGCGACGGAGGGCUCCCCGAGGAGGAGCAUCAUCGUGGUCUCGGAGUUCAUCGGCUGCUCCCCGUCGCUCAGCGCCGCCAUUAGAGUUAACCCCUGGAACGUCGACGCGGUGGCGGAAGCCCUGAGCGUCGCCCUCAAGACCCCGGCGGCGGAGAAGCAGCUCCGCCAUGAGAAGCACUUCAGGUACGUCAGCUCCCACGACGUGGCCUUCUGGGCGAGCAGCUUCGACCGGGACCUGUGGAGGGCUUGCAAAGACCAUUUCCUCAAGAGGGUCUGGGGAAUCGGCUUCGGCCUAGGGUUCAGGGUCGUCGCCCUUGGCCCCAGUUUCAGGAAGCUCUCGGUGGAGCAUGUCGUCUCCGCCUAUAGGAAGACGACCAGCAGGCUUCUGCUGCUCGACUACGACGGCACGAUUCUGCCUCAGGCGUCGGCGAGCAAGGCUCCCGGUGAGGAGGUGGUCUCCCUGCUCAGCAGCCUCUGCAGCGAUCCGAAGAACGUCGUGUUCCUCGUCAGCGGCAGGGGGAGAGACUCCCUGAGCGACUGGUUCGGCGCCGUCGGGAAACUGGGGAUCUCCGCCGAGCACGGCUUUUUCACGAGGUAUCUAUCUAUCUAUCUAUCUCUACCUUUGGUAGAGAGCUCUGAUCUCUGAUCAUCAGAGAAAACUCCAAAAUUGUUGGUUUUUGUUUUCUAACCAGAGUGGGAAUAAAACAAAACAGUGGGGGAUUGACUGCAGGUGGGGGAGGGACGCGCAGUGGAAGUCCUUCUCGGCGGCCGUUGACUUCAGGUGGAUGGAGAUGGUGGAGCCCAUCAUGAGGGUCUACGCCGAGACGACGGACGGCUCUUGGAUCGAGCGCAAGGAGAGCGCCCUGGUCUGGCACCACCAUGACGCAGACCCUGACUUCGGGUCGCAGCAGGCGAAAGAACUCCUCGACCACCUCGAGAGUGUUCUCGCCAACGAGCCCGUCGUCGUCAAGAGAGGCCACCACAUCGUCGAAGUCAAACCCCAGGUAUGGCCGUGAUCAUCGCCCAUCUUCCUCGGACAAGAAGAUGUAUCAAACUGUCGGGAAACUCGACGGUGAAGAUGGAUGAGAAUAUCUAAUCUUUUCAGGGCGUCAGCAAGGGGAAGGCAGUGGAGGGCCUCAUCGCGGCGAUGGCCGCCGGAGGGAAGCCCGUUGACUUCGUCUUCUGCGUCGGGGACGACCGAUCCGACGAGGACAUGUUCGAGAGCAUCGCCGGAGCGGUGAAAGUGCAGCGGCUGGCCGCCGCCGCGGCGGUAGAGGUCUUUGCCUGCACCGUCGGGCAGAAGCCGAGCAGGGCGAGGUACUACCUCGACGAUCCAGCGGAAGUUAUAGGGACUCUCCAGGGCUUGGUCUCCGCCUCCACGCGGCCUCGCAAUCCCGCCGCCGCCUUACAGGUGUCCUUUGAAGGCUGAAUCUUUCUCUGGAGAAAGAAUUCGAAGUCAAUCUCUGCUCCUCAAAGUUUAUCAGGCGUUACUCUCUCUCUCUCUCUCUCUCUCUCUCUCUCUCUCUCUCUCUCUCGCUCGCUCGCUCGUCCGCUCGCUCACUUGUUCGCGUGUACAGACCACAGAAUUGUUCCUCACUGGUGGAGUCUGCAAUUGGCAGAUGAUGUAUACCAGUUUAUACCAUUUUCUGGCAUGUUGGUGCCUGGUUGGCCUUUCUUUCUCUAGUUCACUGUGAGAGGAGGCUACGAGUCCAGCGGGUUUGUCUUGGAUUUGGUGAGGGCAUUUUGAAGAGGCGUUGACUCUUCAACGAAAUGCAAUCUAGCCACUCCGUCACCCCCGGCCUCUGCCUUCAGUCCAUCUCCAGCCAUCACUCCCUCUCUCUCUGUCCCCCCUCUCCCCCUGUUUCUCUCAUCUCCCAUCUCUCUGUCUCCCUCCCUCUCCCUCUCUCNNNNNNNNNNNNNNNNNNNNNNNNNNNNNNNNNNNNNNNNNNNNNNNNNNNNNNNNNNNNNNNNNNNNNNNNNNNNNNNNNNNNNNNNNNNNNNNNNNNNNNNNNNNNNNNNNNNNNNNNNNNNNNNNNNNNNNNNNNNNNNNNNNNNNNNNNNNNNNNNNNNNNNNNNNNNNNNNNNNNNNNNNNNNNNNNNNNNNNNNNNNNNNNNNNNNNNNNNNNNNNNNNNNNNNNNNNNNNNNNNNNNNNNNNNNNNNNNNNNNNNNNNNNNNNNNNNNNNNNNNNNNNNNNNNNNNNNNNNNNNNNNNNNNNNNNNNNNNNNNNNNNNNNNNNNNNNNNNNNNNNNNNNNNNNNNNNNNNNNNNNNNNNNNNNNNNNNNNNNNNNNNNNNNNNNNNNNNNNNNNNNNNNNNNNNNNNNNNNNNNNNNNNNNNNNNNNNNNNNNNNNNNNNNNNNNNNNNNNNNNNNNNNNNNNNNNNNNNNNNNNNNNNNNNNNNNNNNNNNNNNNNNNNNNNNNNNNNNNNNNNNNNNNNNNNNNNNNNNNNNNNNNNNNNNNNNNNNNNNNNNNNNNNNNNNNNNNNNNNNNNNNNNNNNNNNNNNNNNNNNNNNNNNNNNNNNNNNNNNNNNNNNNNNNNNNNNNNNNNNNNNNNNNNNNNNNNNNNNNNNNNNNNNNNNNNNNNNNNNNNNNNNNNNNNNNNNNNNNNNNNNNNNNNNNNNNNNNNNNNNNNNNNNNNNNNNNNNNNNNNNNNNNNNNNNNNNNNNNNNNNNNNNNNNNNNNNNNNNNNNNNNNNNNNNNNNNNNNNNNNNNNNNNNNNNNNNNNNNNCUCUCUCUCUUCCCUCCCCUCCUCUCUCUCUCUCUCCCCGCUCUCUCUGUCUCACUCCCUCUCUCUCUAAGAGUCACGGAGGAAAGGAAGCUAAGGCCGAGUUCUCAUUCGAAACCGGAGCUCUUUCUUUCCGCAAGCAUGGACAUCAAAAGAGAGAUUUUUUCUAGUGAGAAGGCCAUCACCCCAGCGAGAAUUUGACUUGGGCCGUUCCUAACCCCGAUGUGAGCGUAAGCUGACUUUCCUGCCGUUGACUCCAUCUGGAGCUGGCAGCUGAACGUGCUAUCGACUCAAUUGCCAUUACUCGGGCGGUCGGACGCUCAAUAUCGCUAUAAAUAGAUUUGACACUUGCCGUGGGAACGAAGGCAAUCUCCCCAAAUGAGAUGUGCUCCUAAAAUGGCUACUUGACGUUCUCUUCCACUUGGAGCGCCGCCUGAACCACAUUUUAAUCUUCCUUCCCCACCCGAGGAGGCUUGAGCUCCAAUGAGCUUCCGCCAUGAUUCUUCCCCGCGGUAAGCCUGUCACGGACCGCAUAACCCGUACAGAGACCGUCCGGAAUGGAUAAGACGAGCAUAAACAGGAAGAGGAGGGAGGUGAGAAGGGACUGAAUCCAGCGAGAAGAAAGAUACUCGGAGAAGCCAUGGGUAAGGAGGCGCCUGGGUCGUUGACUGCCAUGGAGAUUCUCCGGAAAGGUGUAAAGCUUCUCUGGAGGAGCAGUAAGCCCCUGUUCUCCACCCUGCUCGUCAUUCUGGUACUCAACUAUGUGUGCCUCUCUGCAACCUCGUCUAUCAUCGACCCUUCGAUUUCACGCGUUCUAAAGAAGCAACACCUCCUAAGCAGACUGGACGAUAGCACUUCCACAUUUGCUGCGGUAUUUAGGGGAUUAUGGACUGAUAUCCUGCAGACUGUCGGAGCCGUAAUUGUUAUGUCGUUGAUCUAUUACCUGCUCUAUUCCUUCAUCGUGAUAUCGAUCAUUUACACGGUCGCCAUGGUCGGGAAGAACCGGAAGGUGGCCCUAAAGGAUAUCGUCUUCAGGAUCUGGAUCACGUGGAUGGGCGUGAUAGCCACAAACCUCUAUGUCUACUUCCUCACCUCGGGUUAUCUGAGCUUCUGGAUCUUGCUGAUGAGUGCCGUCGUCUUCUUUGCUGGCGCUUCCGCUGCGUCCUUUGCGUUGAUCGCGGCCAUGGCCAUCCUGGAAUUUCUUCUCCUUGUACACUUGAGCAUGCUUUGGUCACAAGGCGUUGUGGUCUCCGUGAUGGAGGAAGGGCGCUCCGGGCUGGACGCUCUUGGAAUGGCAGCGGAGCGUGUCCGAGGCAUGAAGGGAUUAGGGUUCAGAGUAAACAUUCUCUUAUUCCUCGUUGUGGCCUUGGCCCAAACGUUGCUCUUUACCGCAACUCUUUUCCCUUUGCCCGAUCUGCUCAGUUCGAUCAUGUCCUCGUUAGUCUACCUGUUGGUGAUCGUGUUAAUCCAUGCCGUCAACGUGGUGUUCUACUACGAGUGCCAGGAGAAACACGAAGGAGCGGCCACGAGGAGGGACUUAGCGUACACGAGGGCUGCACACGAGGAACCAUGAGGCCACCCACCCCAGACUCUUGAGAGAUGGCGAGGCUUUGCGACUAUUUACUGGGUGGAUGUUCUUCCAUCAUCUGUAGACGCCCACUAUUUUCUCAGCCACUGUUAUCAAUAUGCCCGUCAUAUUUGGGAAAUCGCUUAUUACUCUCCGUGAACUUGUUCUUGUAUGGUAUUCAUCGAGAGAAAAAUGUUGCAGAACUCUUCACAAACUUUAUGAGGCCCAUCAAAGAGAAUGAUGUGCCUUGUGAGGCAAGCUCCGACCGAGACUAACGAGCCCGUCAAAAGCGCCAGUUCCUCCUGGUUGAGGCCCAGUGGUCAACUCUUCAUUGGUGAAGCUCAACCGGCGAUCAAGCUCCCAUCCGAAGGGACGACUCUCUUUGAGUACGUCUUUCAUUCAUAGCUAGUUGUGCAAUUUUUUGAAACGUUAAUCACAUUAAAACGAAGAUUUCCCAUUAAACUUUGCACCUUCCAAAUGAAAAAACAGAUACAUGACCUCGGCUCCUAGACGCCUUCACAAGUUUCGAUCCCUUCUUCGAAAGGGAGAAUCAUAAGCAUUUCAACCUGUCCAGAAUACUAUACUCUCAUCGUACCAUUAGUUCACCUGAAAGGGAUGACUGUUCUUUUGCUGUGUGGGGGAGGUCAGUGCUGAGACGGUUCACCGGAGGCAGUCCUCAGUAACUCUCCCUCGUCACUCAUCGCUCCGUCUCUCUUCUAUGUUUUCCUUCUGUCGCAAAGAAACCCUCCCGUUGAUAUGCUCUUCUUUUGGUCAGAAAGUCCAACGUGUAGUGGGUUCUUCUCUGUGAAAGUAAAAUAAACAGCGUCAGGCAGUAAAGGAGUAAGCGGGGAAGGGAGGAGGAACGGGGAGGAAGGAAAAGAGAGAGAUUUGGGCAGAGAAACAAGGGGAUAGGCCGUGUCGCGAGAGACACACAGCAUGGUUAAGCAGCUGAGAACGCUGCCCAGCGCAAUCCAAGCGGUCUUCGGGACGUCAACGAUAGGACAGUCUGACUCGUAGUGGAUAAGAUAUCGUGAAUUCAAUCUGGGACUGACAAGUCCAGAGGCGACGAGACACAUCCUCCACAGUUGAAGUCAACGAAGAGAUCUGCAUCACGAACAUCUCAAUCGAGUGAGUAUAUAGUGGUCAAGGUCCCCUGGGACACCCGCUGAAAGCUUCUAUUGCUCGAAUAAUAUCCAGGCUCACGUACUUAUUUAUGGGUAUUUUCGUAUUUGUGCUCGUCGCCUUAGAGAUUAGCUGCUCCCUCUAAGGCGGCGAGCACAAUGAAGACAUUAGCUCUCUCUCUUUCUCUCUCUCGCUCGUUCUCUUUCUUCUCUCAUGCUCUCUCUCUCUCUCUCUCGUCUCUCUUGUCUCUCUCGCUCUCUUUUUCUCUCUUGCUCUUUCCUCUCUACUUUUCGCUCUCUUUUGCUCUCUAUCUCUCUCAUGCUCUGGCGGAGCAUGUACCCAAGCCCCACCACCGACGACCAUGACAUUAGUAUACUCCAUGUCACCUCCCCCAGCAACCAUGCUAAGUGUCAAAGUCACCCUAUGUUACUGUUGCUGGACCUAAGUGAAGGAUCCAAAUUUUUAUUAUUACUAGGCUUUAUUAUGUUUAAUUUCCUUUUAUUUAUUUACGUCACGUUGUAAUCUUCUCUCUCCUCCUGAUGCCUAUAAAUAGGCCUAAGAUCUCUAUGAAAUGGUUGGCCAAUCUUUGGUUAAGAACUAUCAAACACAAAGAUGGUGCCCUAAGGGAUCCCUAUGACCGCAGCUUGUAGCCGCUGCAGCAGUCACACCAGUCUCACCCUACUUUGUGGUCAACCCUUCCCUUCUCUCAUUGAUGGCCAAACAUUCCCUUUGUAAGCAUUCGUGCACCAGAUAACAUGCUGAAAAUCAUCCAUCGGCUUGCCAGCAGCGUGCUGCAUGCGUACCUCCCACGGACAUUAGCACGCCCCAUCCCUCUUGCUGCAAAUUGGAGUGUCCUGCACACCUAAUGGAUGUGCCAUGGCACCUUGACCUGUGCACUAGCCUCCAACCCUUGAUGUCAAUCAUGCACACCUUGUACACCUUGCUUUGCCCAACAUCUUAAUUUGGUUUUAGGGCACUACCCCAAACCAUGUAAGGGGGCGGCUUCCCCCUUGAUCCCCCCACCAACUAAUUGUGCAAUUAGAUUGUGACAAGCUCAUCCUCCUCUAACUAGCUUUGAUGUUAGUAGUAUGGCAUACAAACACUGAAGGUCUUCUUUCAACCCUUUUUGGUAAUUGUGUUUUGACUUCAUCUCAUCUUUCCUUGUAUGUGUUUCCACGGCCAUCAAAUUUAGCCAUGUGGGCUCAUGACUAGUCAAGUGGGUUGUGAUUUUCUUAUGUAGAAGCUAAUUAAAAUUUUGAAUGUGGAGUUUUAUUUUAUUAUAAUGACUUGAGAUAGUCUUCCCACCUUUGAUUGAGAAAUGGAAUAAUAUUCUCAUAUCAUCACAACCUACUUUAAAGGUUCGAGUUCGAUUGUGUGCGACUUUUGUGGCCUAAUAUUUACUUGUAAUAUUCCCAAUGUAUUUCCUCAGUGUCAAUCCUAUUCAUCCUGCAUCAUGCUCUCUCUCUCUUGUCUCUCGCUCUCUCUCUCUCUCUCUCUCUCUCUCUCUCUCUCUUGUCUCUCUCUCAAUCUCUUUUGUCUCUCUUACUCUCUCCUCUCUAUUUCUCACUCUCUCUCUCUCUCUCUCUCCCCCUUCCUAAACGCAACGAGGUUUGACGAAGCGAGCCCAAGUUUGGCCCAAAAUAAACCUAUAUUUAGGGAGAAACUUUCGGCCCAGUAGUGGAAUGCUUAGCUACACUUACCUCGGCCCAAAGUGGCCCAUUAACGUAUCCGAGAGGGAGGGUCGGGAUCGCAAUCGGCCCAUUAAAAAUCACAAAUAGUCCUGGUCCCGGCCCUUUAGCCCAAUCGCCCCCGACCCGAGCCGCCUGCCUUCGUCGUGUUCGCGAGAGGUCGCCGCCGGAGGGUUUGCCUAGGGUUUCCGUGGCCGCGAUCGCCCGGCGCUUUGGCCGGAACUGGAAGCGGAGCUCCGGGGAGUUACCUGAAGAGUCUUUUCAUUCCUUCGUACCGUUUGGAGGAGCAUUGCAUUACUUUGCACGGGUGGAUCGGUUCUAGGUCUUCUGUGCGUGCGCAAGGUCUUGUGAGAUCUGAAUGUUCUUGCCGUCUCCCUAAAUGCGAUUCCAAGUAGCCUGUUCAAGUUUUCUGUAGAUUUAUCGGACUUUUCGUUUUCAGUUUGCGGGUUGUUUAAGCUUUUGCGCUGUUUUGGGGUUAGCCGCCCUGAAGAUUUCGUUUGCGGUUAUCUGCUUGACGUUUUUUCAUCGUCCAAUUUAUUCGAAAUUUCUUUUAGUCUACUGUGAAUUGUUUUUUCCUCUUGGCCUUUUCCUCGGAAAAUUUGGUUACUCCCCGGCACCCUGUCCAGUGUCUCAUCUUCACUUCUCUGCCCGUAGAAAUAUAUUUCUUAAAAAAUAUUUUAUUUCUUUUCACGACCCAUUUCUUAAGUCCGACUGUACAUUAAAACUCUGAUGACCUGGUUCAGAGAUGGCUCGCGUCUACGUGGGAAACCUCGACUCACGGGUGACUGAAAGAGAGCUCGAGGACGAGUUUCGCCUGUUUGGCGUUUUGAGAAGGUACGGUGGAUUUUGAAAUUUUUUUAGGAUAAUUUACUUUAAAAUAUGUCUGAGAAUCGGAUUGGGGUUGUUGACAUUAUCUAUCAUUACUGUAAUUCAUUUCUUUAUUGUCCUUCGAAAACAGUGUAAACUCCGGUUGUACUUUCCAAGAAAUGGGAAUUAUAUGCGCACUCGACAUUCUCCUGUUGUCUCAUCUUUUCUUAAACUCGUUCUACAAUAACGGUGGGUGAUUUGAUUCAAUGGAAGAACGUUGGAUUAAUCAGAAUAUUUGAUAACUGCAACCAAUAUCGUUGAAGUAAUCCUGUCUACCCGUAGUUCAGAGAUUAAAACAAUAAUCAUACAUGUCAGCUUGUCCUUACUCUGAAAUUUAUAAAUUUAAACCCGUCAAUCUGUCUUCACCAAUCCCUUUCUCCUUUUCUAUUUUUUUACAACCUAUACAUGUUAGUCGCUAGCAGCUCUAUUUUUCCUUCAGUUCUGCCGUGCAAAAUAAUGGCUAUAGUGGUAGAAUACAUUUUUCCUAUAAUCUUGGCUUUGCUGAAGUUUUUCUUGUGGAUUGGAUUACUAUAUUCCUAAUGAUCCACGAAGAAAAAUAUUUACCAUGCGUCGUACUUGAUGGAAAUAAGAAUUUAAAACUCUCUCGUCUAUUGUUCACGUGUGGUUUAAUAUCUGCGUUUAAUAUGUUAUUGAUUCUGUUUAGUGGUGAUUUACCUCAACACCAUUAAAUGUAAGGUCAUAAUCUAAGCGAGGGUCAUUUUUUCUGCAUCUAGGUUCAUAUUAUUUUUUGAAAGUGCCGAAGGGUUUGCAGAUUAUUCACUUCUUAUUUUUCUCCUUGCACCUAAAUAUGCAAGUCCCACUCAUGAAGAACCAUCCUUUGACUGUCACAAUUGUACAUUUUUUUUAUUUUCAGUGCAAGGUCUAGAAGGGGCACAAGAAAUAAUUAGGCGCCUAGUCUGUUAUGGAUUUCAGUUUCCAGAUUAUUACAGCCUGGAUAUAUUGAGAAACUAUCUCGAUUUGCUACACAUCUUUUGUAUAUAUUUUGUGAAGCUAACUCAAUUCACGUCUUCAUAUGAGACUAGAAAAAUAUCCUACAUUAGUGAUACAAUAAUGUUAUGUCAUAGCAGCAUGAGCUCAUAUGCUUGGCAUCUAGCAUUCUCUUUUGCUGUUUUGAAUAGCUUCAGACGUUUAACUUUCCUUUCUUUUCCCUCUUCCUUUGAACGGUGGUAUCAGAGAUGGAUUCAUUUUACAACUUCUUGGUGAUCUUUUUUUUCCUGUUCAUAUUAUUUUACUUAUAGAAGGCUCAUUUCCUCAUAUUUUAUUUGAUUAGAAUAACCCGUUCAAUUGAUAGUUCAUUGUUUUGAAUAUUUGUGUGCAGUGUUUGGGUUGCCCGUAAACCACCCGGUUAUGCUUUUAUUGACUUUGACGACCGAAGAGAUGCUCUUGAUGCUAUCCGUGAGCUGGAUGGUCCGUGAAUAAGUAUAUAGGCUUUUUGUAAUAUGCAUUGAAUCCUUUUUCCCCAUGAAAUUAGGUGUCUUUUCAAUUACUGGAUUUAUUUACAUGCUUAUAUAUAAAUCUAUUCAUAUCUUUUAUCUAAUUUUAUAAUGCCCGAGCAUAAACUAGCAUAGUUUGAUCCUUUUUUGCAACAACAUGGUUUUCAAUGAUUUGAUUUAUAUUUUUUUGAUCUUUUGAAAUAGGUAAAAAUGGAUGGAGGGUAGAGAUGUCACAUGGAGGCCGUGGCCAUACUCGUGAUCGAUCUGGAGGUUCUGAUAUGAAGUGUUACGAGUGUGGUGAGCCGGGACAUUUCGCCCGUGAAUGUCGCCUUCGGAUUGGUUCCAGAGGAUUGGGAAGUGGAAGACGCCGUAGUCCGAGUCCCCGGUACCGCAGGAGCCCCAGCUAUGGUCGAAGGUAAUACUAGAAAAUCAUAUUUUCUGGGGAAAAAAAUUUGAAAGAAUUUCGCCUUCUUUUAUCUAUCUUUUUGAAGCUGGCAAAGUGUGCUGAAGUUUUCACAAAAUUCUCAAAACCAUGACUGGAUGAGUUCAGAAUUUAUAACAGUACUUGGACCAUCAUAUAGAGAAAUGAAGUUAUUGCAACUGAACUGGUCAUUGGAUAUUUGUUGAUGAGUCCAUAAGAAGGCUCUACCUAGUUUUUGAGGGACAUUCUGUGGAAAAUAAUAUGGCUGAUAAACGAGUAAUAGUGGAGGCUGUAGGAUCUCUUAGAGGAAGUUUGACUUUUGAUUCUCCAUGCACAUCAGAAAGGCUCCGCUUUUGAGUGAAAAGCGUGACGGAUAAAAGGAAAUAUAAUGCAUUGAAUUGAUGUUUGACCCCAUGGCCCAAGGAGCCAUGAAAGAGCCUAUGGUUUCGGAGCUACAUGGCUAGUACUCAGGAAAGUGCCCCAUGCUGAAAUUCUGUGCCACUUUGAUCUGACAUCUGACUACUCUUGUUUUCUCCUAUCCAGGAGCUACAGCCCCCGGGAUCGCUCCCCUCGCCGCCGCAGCAUCUCUCCUCGCCGCCGCAGCAUCUCUCCUCGCCGCCGCAGCAUCUCCCCUCGCCGCCGCAGCGUCUCCCCCCGCCGCCGCAGCGUCUCCCCCCGCCGCCGCAGCGUCUCCCCCCGCCGCCGCAGCGUCUCCCCCCGCCACCGCAGCGUCUCCCCCCGCCGCCGCAGCAUCUCCNNNNNNNNNNNNNNNNNNNNNNNNNNNNNNNNNNNNNNNNNNNNNNNNNNNNNNNNNNNNNNNNNNNNNNNGUCUCCCUCGCCACCAAAGUCGUCUCCCCACGCCGCCAAAGCAUCUCCCCACGCCACCAGAGCAUCUCCCUCGCCGCCACAGCGUCUCCCUCACCGCCGCAGUGUCUCCCUCGACACCACAGCAUCUCCCUUCCCCCGCAGAACAUCCCCUCGCCACCACAGUGCCUCGCCUCCUGAUGGCGACGUCUCCCUCCCCAUCACAGUGCUUCUCCACGCAAUCAGAGCAUCUCCCCACGCAACCAGAGCAUCUCCCCAAGCCGGCGCAGCUACAGCAGGUCGAGGUCGCCCUCAUACAAGCGUGCCAGUGACGAGUCCCCCUACGCCAACGGGUAAGCUUUCAAUGCCUGAUCUUCAUCGUUCCUUGGCAUUCUAGUGGAGGCUAGGGGCUCACCGCUUCUGCCAUGCCGUGCAGCAACUCUGACGGGCGGGCCGAGCGCCGCAGCAGGAGCUGAGCGCCAGGGAAUGUCGUCUGUUCAAUGGACAAGCGCGCUUCCUCUGCAUCUGAGUAAAUGCUUCCCAACCAUCCCACUGCCCUGGGUUAGGACGUGGUUUAAUUUCCUGCAUGUCGCUCUAUAUUUUAUCAUGCUCGGCUUCUUCUCGUUGGUAAAAGUAUUUCUGAUUUUAAAGACUGGUUGGCUGUGACUGAGAUCUGUAAUCUCUGUUCUUCAUGUCUGUUGAUGAGGUCGUCGUCCCACCUAAAAGACUGCCCAGCCUUGCCGCGUCACCACCCUUUGACUCUGCUCCUCCCUCCUGGCCUCGUUCUUGCCACCUCCGCCGUAAAAGAGGAGCUCUCUCCGGCGCUCGCCCUCAGCCCUGCCCCAUAAAAACUCAUAGAAGAGGUCGGGGCGUGGGCUGCUCCAAGCGCGCCGGCAGGUAACUGGAAUCUGCUUUGAAAUCAGGUUCUUCACCUUCUCACUUGGCCAGCUACAGGGCCCCGGGAUCUGCUGGACAGCUCUCUCCCCAGCACCGUCGGCCCUCCAAAAGAUGACAAGGAACACACCUCCUCUGCGUCUUCUCAGUUCUGUCGGCGGCGCCAGAGGGGUUGACCAACCGGUGCCCAGUCCUUUCUGGGCAAGGAGGGAGAAAGUCGUCUCUUCUAAAAGGGGGGGGGGGGAGGGGAGCGUAGGAUUUCGCAGAGGAUUCAAUGCGGAAUUAUUCAAGAUUCGGUUCACGUAAAAUAUACAUUAUUUAGUUACACAUUCAU
RNAcentral lists this long non-coding RNA (50824 nucleotides) under Spirodela polyrhiza (greater duckweed). RNAcentral's name for it is "long non-coding RNA (SPOL_LNC001736)". The record is from RNAcentral. Lineage: Eukaryota; Viridiplantae; Streptophyta; Magnoliopsida; Alismatales; Araceae.